GGGCCCUUAUUGAUUCUAAAAGCAAAGUAAUAUUUAAAGAAAAGGUCAGAUUGCAUAAAUAUUGAAACAAAUAAGAGUUCAACAAUGGAGUAUUAAACCUCCCAAUUCAUCACAAAUCUGAAUAUUCUCAACUUCAACUAGAAAAUAAGGAAUUUAGCCACUCAUGGUGGACUAAAUACACAAAAGAUGGAAAAGAAAAGAAAAUAGAAGAGCUGCAGAAUUUCUGGCGUGAGGAAGAGGAAGCUCAAUAGCUGAUCAGAUGAUCCUUUUGCUGGCUUGGAGGCUCUCCUUUUAUAGUUGCAGAAUUUUAUCCAUCUAGGGUUUUGAAAUCCCUCUUUGAUUUGGUGUUGGACUCCUCUUUUGAUGUUGAAUUUAAUUGCAAUUGGAUUUCCUUGGAUGAGAAGCUCUUUCGUGGCUCUUGGAUAAGUGCUGGAAGUGAUUGGAUUGGAUUUGGACUUCUGAAAAUUCGGAUUUCUGUUUGCUGUCCAUUUUCCCGCUCUGCUGUAAUUUUCUGCUGUCAAAGUGAUUUGCCCGGCGAUUUGACCAGUUUCUUGGGCAAAUCACUGGGCAAAUCGCUUCUCUGUGAGUCAGUCCUCUAUGCCUCUGCGAGUGAUUUGGCCAGUGGUCCUCGAUUGUCUUGGUCAAAUCGCUUGCCCAUGUCACUGCUGUCUGUUGCCUCUGGGUAUCUGUUUUAGCUUGAUCUGGGCAGUGAUUGGAGCAGAUUUUUGGGCAAAUCACUGGGCAAAUCAUCCUUUUGCAAAUUUUCUGCACUUUUUCUUCCAUUUUCCAGAUUCUUCCUUUUCUGUAAAAACAAGAUAAAAACCAUAAAUUAAGCUAGAAAAUGUGUAAAUAAGCAAUAAUAAUUAUGAUAAAAAUGUGGCUAAAUUAUGCUUGAUCAAAGCUGCAUAUAAAGUGUGGAGGCUUCCGCAUGAUAUUAUCUUGUAACCAAGUAUUUUAACAUUUAUUUUGAAUCUUGUGCUGUUGCGCUUAGGAUGUAUACAAUGGAACCUUGAAUUGUGUAAAGAUGGAGAAUAUGGAGUACAGGUUCAUGAGAAGCAUUCAAAAGUAUCGGAUUGGUUGUAAUCCCUCUGUUCUAGCUUUACCAGAACCUUGGAUAAGCAAUAGAGUGAGCAUGCACCUGCUUCCACCAAAUGCUGAUUGCCUUCCAAUUAUGGAUAAUGAGUUUGUUAGACAUAUUUAAAAGCAUAGGACUUUGGCUUUUUAUGUUCUUAUUUCUUUUCGUUUCUUUCAGUCUUAAUUUCUCGUUAUGCUGUUCAUAAUAAACAGUGAAAUAUGCAUAAACCUUUUUUCUCAACUUCUUUUUACUUGUAUUGUAAAGAAAGAUCAUCUUCUCUUUGAAGUUUGCAAAAUAUGUAUGAAUAAAGGACAAGUGGGGCAAAAGGGUGAUGCAACAGUACACAAUGGGUGCUUGUGGGGGCACGUAUUUCUGUUUCUUUUCCCUUUACUCCAUUUUCAAAUAUUAAAAUCCUUUGUCUCUUGCCUGACAGCCACAUACCCAAUUGUUAGAAAGAGGAUAUACAUUGUGGUAUGUGUUUGUAUAUAUAUAUAUAUAUAUGCUUUAGAGAUAUAUUCAAUAGGUGGAAGGACUUUGCUAAUCCCAACUCUGUAUCUCUCUCUUAUAAUUGUUUCAAUCCCGUCUAUUUCUCCUCCCUUGCUAUCUUGUUAGACUACCUUCCAUGGAAACUUCCCAGCCUCUUUCUAUCGAGAGCUUUUCUUAUAGCUGGCUAGUAAACCUGAAACCAUCGCUUGAAAGCCUGGACAAUUCCCUUAGGGCCUCUCUUGAUGCAUCUGACGAAGCUUCUUUCAUUGAGAUGGACCCAAGAAUGCCUCCCUCUAAGAGGUUCUCUAGAAAUUCUCAGGACUUCAAAUUUGAUUUCCCCAUUUCACAGCCUCCUCUUACUGUUGUUCAUGCUGAUGAACUUUUUUCCAAUGGAUAUGUCUUGCCUCUCUUUGUUGAUCCACUGAAAAUUGAUACUUACGAGGUCUCAGAUUCAACCUCAGCCAUUCCUGCCUCUUCCCAUGCACCAAAAGUUGUGGUCUCAGCUAGGAAAACUCGUUGUCCUUCAUUGAAAAGGUGCCGGACAUUAUCAAAGCAAAUAUUUCAGAAGUAUUUCGAAUUUCUCAGGCCAUUGUAUAGAAGAAUCCGGGGUCACAGAUCAAGUUCUAGAGCUGAAAGUAUGGAUACAAAGGUGAAGGUUGUGAAGAGCUGGUUAUAUUCAGCUGAAGCAUCUCCUAGAAUUAGUGUAGCUUACUCUGUCGAUGAUUGGCGGAGGAGGUCUUGCGACUCUGAGAGCUCAAUUUAUGAGGCAGUUCUUCAUUGCAAAAGAUCCAUUGGCAAGUUUAUCUGAUCUUAAUUACUUUUUGUCUCAUUAAAAUGAUUUCUUUAUCCAUUCAUUUACCAUUGUUUCAUUAUAAUGAUCAGCUUCUGAUAUUCUUCAUUGCUGUGUAAUUUUCAGAGGAAUAAAUGGAGACCAUUGUACAAAAGAAAAGUAAAAGAAGAAAAGUUAAAGAAAGAAUAGAAGACAAAUGAGAAAUGUCCAUAUUCACAUGGGAAGACAGAAACCAAGAGGAAUAAACAAAGAUCAGCAGCCACUUGUUUUUUUUUUUUUUUUCCCUUUCUCUCUUGCUGUGAGGAUAAUGUAAAUUAGGUUCAUAAUGGAGGGAAACUGUGUGGAUGGUCGGCCAUGGAAAUUCUUGCCAGCCGAGGGAGAAAAAGAAUUGAAGACAAAUUAAAUUUGAUUUUUUGUCUUUUUCUUAUAUGGAGGAGAGGUACUAACUACAAAUAUUCUCGUCCUUGUAUCUGUAAAGUUAUAUUUAAUGAGUUGAGGAUUUUAUUCUAUUCAUGGAAUAUCUCCAUUAUUUUCUUCUAUUGUUUCAGAGUUGCUUUAGUUGUCUUGAGCCCAUAUUUCCUUUUAUGAAUUAUCUUCACUGGCUUUGAGAAAUGAUCUUUCAACAGAAAGGACAUUUGCAAAAUUUCUCCAUCCUGUAAUAGUUUAUGCCGAAGAGGCAAGUGAUUGUCUAUUUGGUCUUACUGAAUUGAUUAAGGUUGGAAACUAAGAGCAAGUUUCAAGUCCUGAUAACCAACUUGUUUUCAAAUGAAGAUUGUUCUUGUGAAACUCAAUCCUAAAUUUGAACAAUUCAAUAAUACAUUUUCUGAGUUGGUAAAAAAUGAAAAUUGACUUAGGACUGCAACUCAAAGAAACUGAUUCUGAGAUUGGAAUAGAAAGAGUAUACCAUGGUCUUACUUUGAACCACCUGCCCUAUGAUAGAUAUCAAUUCUACAAUCAUUCCAAGAAUAUUCAUGAUCUAUUUCUAAUAACUAAAUCAAAUCUUGAAUUAAAUAUUGCCUAGAAGUUUUACUUUGUUCUUGUAACAACUGACAUGGCAUCAGAGUACUGUUUAUUUCUCACAUGGCAGUCUUCCUUUUUUCAGAACAUCCUUAUAUAUCACAUGUUAAAAUUUUAACUAAAGUAAGUUAUCAGUAUAUGAUACUAUUUGAUAUCAGUGUAUGAUACUGUUUGAUUAGCAUGACUCAUGACAACUGGUUCUUUACAUGUACAUCCAAAACAUUUAAGCAGGUUCUUGAUUCCCUCUGAAAAGAAAAUAAACAGUUUUGAUUGUGAAACACUUAGGCUUCCUUUGAAAAUAAUCAUUUGCAAGAAUAUAACUCAAAUGAUAAUCAUGUUACUUUUGGAAUAUGAUAUUUAUUUCUUUUAAAAAUGAAUUCUUUUCUUUAGUUCAAAGAAUUGUAUUCUUUCUAUUAUUAGGUUUCCUAACAUGAGAAUUUCAAAUUCUAGUUUCCAAACAAGCUGUUACAAGAUUUGGAUGAGAAACUCUUUGACACCAAGUAUUGAUAAAUAUCAUUUAUGCAAACAGGUAAUCUAACAAUGAAAUGGAACUGAGAUGAAACAAGUUGAUGCAACUAAUCAAAAACACUCCUCUUCACGUCUCAUUUAUUCAGCUACUUGAUAAACUGUUAAGUCAGAAUCUUUGCUUUUCCCAUCAAUUAAAUAACAAAGAGACAUUCCUUUCUUUUAUUUCUCAUCAUCUUUAAAUACCCAUUUGGCUCAAAUGCAACUAGGAACUAAAAAUUUCCAUUCUUUUCUUGUGCAUUGCCAGAGUACGAACCGAAGCAAGUGAAGAUAAACAAAUUCUGAAGAAAGGUAACAUUAGCUUAUGCUUCAAUCCUAGGGAAACUCUGGCUCCAAGGUGCCUUCAAGGAAGAGCUUGCAUGUGUUUUGUCAGUAUUAGUUGUCUGGUAGACCACUCAAGCGUUGAGCAUACUAAACUUCAAAUUCAAGGCGUCAAGCUAAUUUUUGGAACACAAUCAUGGCUUUGAACUCUGUUUCUGCCCAUAUCUUUGCAGCAGUACUGUAGGCUGUAGCAUACAGUUUGCAACUGUGUUCCAUAAUCAGGGGCUGAUUUUUUUUUUUUUUUAUAAAUUGUUAUUCUUUUGUAAUUCACCAAAAAUAUUAAUUAGAUGCUUGAACUGACAGUGAUUGGAUGGUGGGAAUUGUCUAGGAAAAUGCUAACUAACUCGCACCAAAAGAUAGGCAAGAAUUGCAGCUACAUGAUUUGCCAUGUAAAAGUUCGUCUCUCUUUCUGAAUUUCACUGCAGCUACGAGUACCUGCUAAAUCAAGUAACUUUUUCAUUAUAGUUCUCAAUCAAAAAAAAAAAAAAAACAAAAAAAGGGUCGUUCUAUCCAAUGCAAAGGAAGAAGAGUGAAUUUCUGGUCCCCUCAGGAAUGGGGUCCAAAAAUUGAAGGGUUUCCCAAGAAACAUAACCAAGCAGAGGUGGCCUAAUUUAAGCCGUUUGAAACAGUAAGAGAAAUGACUCAGAAUGAGAAGUUGAUCACAUGCGAACAAGCAGGAUAGGGAGACAGUGAUAAAAUGUGCUAGGAGAAGUGCCAAACUAUGAUAACAUUGAUUUCCUACUUUUAUAUCUACCGCAUUUUUUUGUCUUCGUCAUUGGAUUUUUGUGUUCCAUGCUAAGGGUAGCUUUUAUGAAUUUUGUUUUUCUCUUGUAUCUACAUCGACAUGGUUGUGGGGACCCAGACCACAUUCAUCCUACUUGUUGCUGCUAUGGAUUCUUCAAUCGCUGUAGCGACUAACAAGACACUACCACUCCAUUUCACCAAAAGCAUUGCAUAGAGAACUUCAAGAUCAGGAUAUGGGUAAUGGGUUUCCUAGCUUCUACAAUUAUGUCCUCACAAUAUAUUUAGGGGACAGGAUUUUAAAGUGGAAACUGAUCAGCCGUAGAGAUCAUUCAUCAGUAAGUUGUGCUUUGAUUCAAUGAAAUAAUAAACACCCAAUAAAUGGAAUGUUGUAACUGAUUCAAAAAGCCCAAUAUCAAGAAUCAAGAUGUAAACUCCAUAAGCAAGCAACAGGGUUUGGAGGAUUUUCUGGAAGAACUGAACAAGCCAUGAAUUGAUUGAAAAAAAACAGGGGAGGGGACCAAGGCCUUCUUCUCUGCCGUAUGUCGGAUGAAUUCAGACUAUAAAGUCACUGUUAGAAGCUUCAGGACAAUGAAUACUUCAUUUAACUUGUUCCUUGCUACAUACAUUAGUGAUUAGGCGGUGGGCAGGGUCCAUAUCAGCUUAGUUGUUCUGUUUCAGGCAUUCUGGUUACUACUAAGAAUGAGCACUCGUACUAGUUUUGAAGGCUGCCCUUUUCGAGGCAGAGAUUCUCAGUGUUUUGUUAACACUUUUCACACGAAGCAAAACAUAACAGAGAGAAGCCAUAAUGGCUUUUGGCCAUGACCCUCAACGCUUAGCCCCACAUUUCCGUCUCCCUGUGUAUAUUCAACAGCAACGACAAGUCAUUUGUGAAGAAGCCAGUGAAGGUAAACGACAAGCCGUCUCCUGCUCUCUCUCUCUCUUUUUUUUUUUUUUUUCGUGUGUGUGGGGAAAUGAAAGCGCUUUUAUGCUCAACAUAAAAUAAAAAAAAUGGUGUCAUAAUAUAACUCCAGUUCCUACUUUUAUCCAAUAAAAGAUUUUCAAUGUAAAUUUAAAUAUAAAAUUUAUUAUAAAUUUAAUAAGAAUACUUUAUCUAAAUAAAAUUAUUUUCAUAUAAUUAAUUAAGAGAAUUUAGUUAAUGUAAUUAAAAUAAUAAAUUUUACAUCUCAAUUUUAAUAUAUUCUCCUUCAUAUAAUUUGAUUAUUAAGUUAUUAUUAAAAUUAAUAAAUUUUCUAAUGCAUUAUUAAAUAGAAGUAUAUUUAGGAGUUAAUAAAUAAAUUAUCAUCUAAAAAAAGUAUAAUUUUAAAAAAAUAAUAAAAGAUAAAUUUAUUUUUUAUAAAAAAUAAAGAAAAAAUAUCAUUUGUUUAUUAUAGAUUGUAUGUAUUUACAUUCUGCUGAUGUAGCCAUGAUAUAUGACUUUUUUUUCAAUUUUUUUUAGCUGGAUCUAAAUGAGGCGAAAGAUUUUUAUUUUAUUGAAAAUUUAUUUAUAUCAUAUUUAUAUAAAUUUAUAAUGUAAAUUACAUCUGAAUCUAUAUAAAUUAGAUCUUACAAGAAUUGCCAUUCUCUCAUUAUAUGAAUGAGAAACUUGCCCGCCCACCCAAUCUGCUGGCCAGGCUCUGGUCUGAGUCAAAAUCCUGAUAGAGAUUUUGAGGAGCAAGAGUAGAUUGAAGCUGACCAAGUUGCUUUUGAUUUCUAAUUCUUCAUUUAUUUUAUAAGAAAAAAAUUUUUAUAAAUUUUAUUUUUUAAAAAAUAAAAAUUUUAUAAAUUAAAAAUAAAUAAAUUCUUUUUUUAAAUAAAAAAUUAAAUAAAAUUAAAUUUUAAUGAAAUUUUUUAUUUCAAGCACGGAAAAAGUUUUGAUUUUGGCUUUUCAAGAUUUCAGCUCUGGUUUAAUCCAUCUUUCUUAAGUUGCCGUCGUUCUGAAACUCGGGCCUUGUAAUCCAGGUUAUUAAACUAUUGGCUCAGGCCAGUCCCAAAUAUAAUCUAUCGAACUCCUGGUCCGAUUUAAAGUCGAACUGACACCGGCCAAGCUCCCCACAAUUGACCGCUGCUCUGCUUCUAUAGUAAGAGCAGGUGAACGGUGAUCAUGAUCCUGGAAGGUUGGAGAUUUAACCUUAAAAUUGCUUUUAUGUAAUUUUUUUUUUUAAUCAAGUUCAAAAUUGCAUAUAUAUUGCUCUCACUGAUCUCACACAACUUAUGGUACACAACCUCACCGCAUAAACCUUCGUCAACACAUGCUCACUGGAACUUUCCUAGUGAACUUCUGGAGUUCUCGCAUGGCUAGAUCUCUAAGUUGAAAAUUCAGAAAAUGGUAAGGACUUCCUCAUACUUAUUUACUACCAUCUAAGCUACUAGGAGGGUUUGUACUACAAGCUUCUAUGUCUUUGCAAUCUGAGGUUGCAUACUUCAAAUAAUUUUCUAUCUCUUUAUUUUCUGAGCUUCCAAGCUUUCUAUAGAACCACUUCUUGUGACGAUGAUGAUGAUGACGACGACGAUGAUGUUUUGGUCUCCUCUCGCUAAUGGCAAUGGCGAUGUCAUUAGGGAAGAGGUCUCGGAGCACAAACGCAUGUACCAUUGUGGUUACGAGCAGAGCUGUGAGUAUGAGAGUGGAGGUGAUCGAGAGUGUGACGGCCAGCGUUUGAGUUACUGUGUUGGUGACUUCAUUUGAGUACCUAAUGGUUGCAAUGGCAGCUCCAGUCAUGGGGAAAGUGUACGCCCACCAAGCCAAUGAGAACCUUUAAAUUCAAGGAAGCACAAAUGUAAGGUAAGCUCAGAAGAGGAGAACUAAUGGGUAGGAAAAAAAAUUUCUAAGGUUAGAGUUGGACACUUACUUAAAUCCUCGGAAAAAAUUUAUACGAACUGCCUGCAGAAUUACAGAAAACAAUAGCAUGGUUAGGAAAUUGAAAUCAAUCAAAGCAAGAACGCAAGUUAUGUCUUUCAGUUGAUCAUGUGGUAGAGACUUACCAGUGAAAAAUACAGAAACAGAGCGAUGAAGUAUGCAAUCCUGGAGCCAUAAUCGAACGAGCCUUGAAUCUUUGCCCAUGCCAUCGAAGCAACACUUGGAGCUGCAACAAACAGAAAGAAUACUGGAUGGAGCUCCUUUGGGAGUGUUUCAUUGGUUGGAAGUCUUUGGUAGAGGGUCACAAAUAGGACUGUGUAGUGGGCCAACCCAAUAGCAAAGAAGAAGAUAGGCCCUUCUUUUAGACCCAUUGAUGCACCCAACAAUGCCCCAACAAAAUUCCCUACAACUGAGAGAUGAUUUGAAGGAUUCGCCACUCUUGAAAGCCUCCUUUGUCCUCCAGACAUCCACUGUCCAUAGAUCUUGAGCUCAAGACAGAGUAUUGGAGUCAUGAGAAUGUACCAAAGGACACUAUGCAAGUUGUUAGCAACUGAUGAAGGCACUCCAAGUGCUAAGAACAGGAGGGCUAUCCAUGGAGCAAAGAAGAAAUUGACACGGAUGGGGUGAUAGUAUUCACGGCGAACUGCUUCAAAGUAGAGAAUCAUUUUGAGAAGAUAAAUGGAAGCUACAGUGGCUACAAGAGCAACAGAGAUGCACCACAGCACAAGAUUUACAUAGGGGCUAAUAUGGAGAAAUUUAGUGGAAGCAGAGUUGGCCAGAGUUUUCCACAUGAUUGCCUGGCUACUAAUGCCAAGACAGAUACCAAAUGAAGAGAUGGGAUAUCGGAGAAGAAAUGGCCAUGUCUUAUCAUCUGGCAGCACUAUUUCCUCUGAGGCCUAUGAAAUUAGCAUAAUCAGAAAAAGAUAAAGAACAUUUGGAUUUAAUAAAAUCGUAUAUAAAUGAAUGGAGGCAGCUUAGCACUUACUCUAAGGUUCUCCAAUUCAGGUCCUUCCAGGGCAUCAUAGUAUCGAUCCACAGGUAAGGCAUCGUUCUCUGCUCUAUGCUCCACAGGAUUCUCUGGUGAAGGUUCACGUGGCUUCCCACGUAGAUAUGAUAUCUGCCUCUCAAGUUUCCCGGACCAUGUUUUGAAAGAAUCGUAGCUUUUAUCCUUCAGUUUUUGAUGGGUUUGAGAGUUUGUAAUAUUGACGACUCCCAGCUCAACAGCACUUCCCUUGGGCAUUGGCUGAGAAUGAAACUUUAUUUGAUUUGUGUGAGAGAUGGCAACCUUAGAUUCACUAGAAGAAACCGAAACUGCGCCAUUAUCUUCAUAAAGAAUCUUUUCAUUGAUCUCUGAACUGUUUUCCCUUGGAGAAGUUGGCAUGCUAAUGGAAAUAGAACGACUCCUUUGAUCGUUGAUGGGUUGAAAUAUGUCAGCGCCGUUCUCCAAAUCUAUAGUGCCAGUUCCCUGCCAUGAAUAAGAUAAAAUCUUACGCCUUCCCCGAUAAUUGCUCUUUUCACGUUCAAUUUCUCUAUGAGGAAGAAAUCGAGGUAUAAUAUAACAUACCAUAGGCGAUGAACUGAAAGGAUAAGGUUCACUUGGUUGUUUCUGAGAAUUCAGGCUAGUGUUAAUAGCAAUACCAUCAAAGCCAGCCACUUCUUUCGUUGAUAUGUAUUUGAUGAGUGUGGGAAUGGAUUCUUCGUGCGUUGCAAAAUCUUGGAUUUCCAUUAUAAAACAGCUACCACCUGAAAGGCAGUUGGGUGAAGUUUUAGAGUUAGCUAAACAACUAAUCAUAUUUGGUGAUUAUUGCCAUCUCAUAUUAUCAAUCCUUAAUGUCCUGUUCCAUACAAGUCAAUUUCCUCUGUAAGAGAACGUUAAGUAAACUGAACUCAUAACCAUUAACCAGCGUCACAGAAGAAAAAUGAAAAAUUUGCAGUCUCUCGAAAUUUUAAUCAUUUGAAUAACCAGAGUUCUGUUCUCAUGGUUAUAUGGGAAGAAACUAGAGAGCAAUGAAUUGGGAUUUCUGAGUCACUGAGUGACUGUCAACAGUACAGCAAGAAGACAAUAUCAGAUUUUCUGAUUCAUGAACGGAUAUAACAACUUAUUAAUCAAUCAGAAUCACCAUAACAACUGAUGGAGAAUAUAUACUCACCUCCGACUUUACUAAAUCUUUAACAGCUGAUGAUGAAGGAAAAACUUGUAAACACAGAUAGCGGAGUCCUCAGCAAACCAAGAAAAUUUAGGAAGAGGUGCUAAACAAUCCCUGUACACUUUCCUCCUCUGGCCCUCUUAGUGACAAGAGAAAAACACGGACACACACUUGUUGGAAGCAAUAUAAAUGACGUUAAUGGCGGGCAUUGAACUGUUCUGUUACGUCAAAAACUGCACGCUCUGUGUAAUAAUCAGUGGUUCUCUAUUUGAGGAUGCGAUAUGACACAACCAUGCAGAAGGAGAAGAUAAACCAAUUCAAUAUUAAACAAUCUCCAGCUGGUAUUUUAAUUAUUUAUAUGUUAGGUAACCAAAGGUUGGUCGAUAUAGCCUGGCUCGGAUAAUUUGUCUUAAUUAUCAAUCGUCUCAGGGUUGGUGUUGUCUGUUCUUAAAGAACCAGCGAGUUAGCUUUGAGUAACAGCUAAAAAACAGCAGCGCUAUAUCAUCCGUCGUAAGGAAAAGUAAAAAAAUUUCCACUACUUCUAUUCGAUUUCGAUAAUUACGUACCGUUAAGGUGAUAUUUGAAAGUAUUUACCUGUUAUUUAAUUUUAAUGUUUAAUUUGAACUAAAUCUCCAAAAAAUGACCUUUGUGUAAAAAAAAAAGAUACAAAUUCCAGCGGACGCGGUGACAUGGUUGGAAUUUCAAACAUUAUCAACAACAAAUCAGAAAAUGGCGGCCCACAUAUAUGAAAGAAACACAAGAGACAAUAACUAAAAAUAAAUAAAUGAUAAAAUGAAGUAAAUAUUUAUAUGGGAUAAGUCCAACAUUAAAGUCAAUUUACACAGGGCUUUAUCCAUUUUUAUAAAUUUUUUAAAUAUUUUUAUUGAAUAUAAUUAUCAUAUACGUUUUAAACAAUAAAAAAAUAAACUUGUAAUAAUUUUUUUUCAUCAAACACGCAACGUCCGAAGCUGAUAAAAGAAAAUAAUUAAGUUAAAAAUAUGAGAAAAUAUACCAUGUUUUGAUUUAAUAUAUGUCCUAUUAAAAUCACCAAAGAAAGACGAAGGUAGGUUUGAUAGCUCAUAAUAUACUUUAAACUUUUAGAUAUUUUCAAUUGAAUGAAUAAAGUGCGUGAUUAAAAAAAUAAGAUAAUUUCAUAAUUAGGUGUAUAAUAAGGAAUAGAACAUUGAUCUGUUUUACAAAUUUUUUUUCUAUUAAUAUUAAGAUGAUUAUAUUCGAAUUUUGGUAUUGGGAAAAUGACAUGUUAGGGAUUACUUAAUUAAUUUAAAAAUUACAACAAAAAUAGUUUAAUUAAAUUUAAUUUGAGGUGGCAAAUUGAAAAUAUUACUUAGAAAGAGAGCUACAUGCAAAAAAGGAAGGUAGAGAGGCGGGCAAUAAAUGUGAACCGCAAAAACUUGUGAAAUAUUCAAUAACCAAACUAACAAAAAGAAUGUACAUAAUAUUGGCAAUGAGAAUAACUUAUUUACCCACGUUUUCCUCUUUUAUUCUAAUGAAUUUGGACGAAUAAAUUUACUUAAUUUCAUCUAAGUGUUUGUUUAAAAUUGACCUAAUUCAAUUAAAAUUAAACUCUAUAUUAAUUAAUUACAUUUUCUUGAAAUAUGAUCAUAUAAUUAAAUAUUAUAAUUAAAUAAUGCGAACCUCCAUCAUUCAAUAAGAUGAGAUAUCUAAAUAUAAACUACAUUGGAAUAAUGUUAUCCUAAUUAACAAUUUACUAAUUCUAGUCCAUACCUAUAAAUAGGAAAUCAGUCUAUAUCUUUUGACAAACUGAUUACACGAGUCAACCAAUUCGUUGGCUUGCCCAUUUUGCAGGUACAGGCAUUUCCCCUUUGCAGCAUCAAAAAUUGAAAUAGAUAAAAUUGUGGAAUCCAAUAUGAAAUUAGAAAUUAGAAUAAAGAUGAUGAUGCGAAGGACAUAAGUAUCCAUACCUAAAUUCUUUAGCUGCCGGUUAAUGCCCCCGUGUAUGGUGUCCACCUUCACCAUCUUAGUGUGGAUGUAUAUAUAUUUUGUAGUGUGGUGAUAAGGUGAUAUUGUAAUUUAUAUUCAUUUCAAAAUGUCACUUAUUUGUAUCUUAAUCUAUAACCAACUGAUCCAUAUAAGUGUUUUUCAUAUAAAUAUAUUAUAUUUAUAUAAUCUCGAUGUUUUAAUUUAAAAUAAAUUAUUCAAUACAUAAUAAAAAUAAAAUUUAUUUUUUAAUGAAAUACCGUCAGUUAUAUUUUGUAUUCUAGAACGAAGCCACGUGGCCCUUGGCCACUCUGAAAUCACAACCCAGCCCACAAAGACAUCCGCUGUGUGUCUUUUGCUUUUUCACGCUUUUGCUAGUUUCAUCGUAUCUCAUCAGUCGGCGGUCCAAAUCCAUGAUCUCUACCCUCAAAUAGCCUUACAUUUUCUCUCCAAAACAUCAACGAACCAUUUUGCCCCCACGAUUUCCACUAUGUCCCAUCUACAAUCUGUAAAUUGAUUUGAUGAUAUCAUAAACAAAUUUUUAAAAAAAAUGCUUGGCGAUUUCAAUUGGAAAAGAAAACGAAAAAUCUGUAAUUUUUUUAUGUAGAUGAGUUCUGCCGCAAAUGUUUUUUUUUUUAUCUGCAUUCCAUAAUUGCAAACGAAAUAAAAUUUAUAAAAUUGAAAUUAGUUUUAGAAGACUUGCCACAAUCUAAUUAAAUAAAGUUUUGGUAACUAUAUAAGCAGUUUUAUUAUUAUUUUUUUAAUAUAUAAAUUUAAAAUACAAAUCAACUUAAAAAUAUAAUUACUAAAUAAAUGCAUCAGUAGCUAUAAUUUUAAAAAAGUGUUGAAAGAGUUUUGAGUAGUAAUAAAAAAUAUAGCUACUCCAUCAACUAAAAUCCCAUUAAUAAUUUGAUUAUAGUAAUGAUGAAAAUUUCGCAGCAAAUAAUACAUCGAAUAAUCCCACAGUUGAAAUUUGAAACACUUAAAACCAAUAAUGAAUAUGCUUCUCCAAAAGCACAAAAGGACAACAUGGGGUGUUUAAUUAUGGGAACAAACAAAUUAAACAGCACACAUAUAAACAGAGCAGGAUGUGUGGUCUUGGAAGGAAUGGGUUAAAUCAUGAAUUGUGGUGACUUUGCAUAAUUAUUUAAUAUUUUCCAUUCAUUUAUAGUGGCUCAGACUUCUCCUUGCUCUUCUUCUACAGCACCUGGAUGCACCAAUCACACAAAUACAGAACAAUAUAAAGUCCAAACACUGCUUUUCCAUCUCAUUGCCUAAAUAACUAAUCACAAAAUUGCACAUUCAGCUAAAGUUUAUGGUCUUAUAAAAAUAUUUUUAAUAAAUUUAAGAAAUACUACAAAUAUAUGUUUCACCUUUUUAUUCUUGCAGCACAUAUUUUCUAAUGUACAAGAUCAUUUAUUAAUAAUAAAAAAUUAUUUAUCUAAAACUUAGUGAAUUUAUGAUACUUAUUUUAGAUGGCUAAUAUUAUUUACAUAAAAUAUAAAUGACUAAUUAAUCAUAUGUAUAUAUUGAUAUUAUUUUUAAAAUUAUGUGAUUUUUUCAAUUUAAAUUUUAGUUAAAUUAAAAUAAAAAUAAUAUCUUUUUAUCAAAUGUAAAGAUAAUUAUAUUAAAAGCUGUAAAAUACAAAGGCUUAAUAAAAAGUUCACUUGGAAACUAAAAAAUAUAAAGAGUAUAAAAGAACAAGGAACACUCAAGUCAAUACCUUCAACCCUUCAACAAAAAGUCUAGGGUCACAGAGGAGAUGGGAGGAGUGCCAUGUUGUUGUGGUCGCCGCCACCUUACCAUUCUUUUGAUAAAAAACUCAAUAUAACAUCAAAAAAUAUAAAUUUUUUAAAAAUUAUUACUAAGAUAAUUCAAAAAAAAAAUAUUAAUCUUUUAAAGACUCUAAAAAAGUCAACAAUUAAAAUUUUAUCAAUUUUUAAUCUCUUAAAGAUAUGUGAUUAAAAUAAAAAUAAUUAACUAUAAAAUUCUAGAACUUACUGUCUUUACGAUUUAAAAAUUAAUGUAUUUUUUUUUACUUGAUUAUUUAGGGAAAACAUAUAGUCUGAUUUGGGUCUUAAUAACUAAAGAGCAGCUAAUAAGAACUGGCUAAAUUUAAUAAAAAAAUGACCAAAUUAAGCACUAUAAAAAUAAAACUUUUUUGAAAAUUAAAUUUACAAAUACUCACUACUAAGAAAAGACAUUAUAAAUCAGAAAAAGUAGAGCAAGUGACAUGUAAAUUCUCUCUCGUUUAAGCUCUCAAAUCUGUAAACGAUAAAAGUAAAAUCAAAAUGAAAAUUAUUUACAAACGACCUGAAGUGGAAGGAACAAUCCACAGUUGGGAGGGGAGCCAAAGUAAAGAAAACCGAUAAAGGGGGAAGGAGAAAGAUAAUUUCAGAAAAUCUCUCUAAAAAUAAAUUGGGGAGAGAAUUAAAUUACAAUAAAAAAUACUAAAAGGAAAAGUAACGAAAAGAAGCAUUUUGAUUGGGAGAAAAGGGAGUCACGUGGCUUUAGACUUUAGCCAUCAAAUGAAUACAUUGGAAGUCGGCUUGGGGCUUUUAGGUCAGAGUGUUUUUUUAUGUAAAGUAAAAAGCAUGUCUUUCCCUUUGACCUACCACUGUCUGUGUAAGCAAGCACCACCAUUGGCCACUGGCAACCAUAAAAAGCUAGUCGGCAAGACCUGGUUUGGCUUUUAGCGACUCAGCAACUUCAUUUUACAGCCUGUGGGUCGGCUCUUUUUCUUAUUGGCUGUGCCUGCCUUUAUUUUUUUACUUUUUCUUUCUCAAUUAGCAUAUAUACAAAAAAUAAUUGCAUUUGGAAAAAAAAAUCAAAUAAAGGAAAUAAGUAUUGGAAAUUUCGGAUAGAGCCUGUUCCUGUUUGUAGUUCGACUGGAAAGCUAUAAUUACAUUACACGACCCAUAUGCAUCAUUCUCUUACUCUUAUCACUCGCAGUGGUAGCUUUUUUGUGCAACUAGAAGUUGACACAGAUGCAAAAAGCUUAACAAGGAGUGGAUGAAUCACUAAAAUAAAACCACUAAACCUUUUUCACUAAUUUAUUUAAUUAGGGUCAGUGACAACAAAGCGAGUUUUGCCUUUUGGGUAAUUAAUUCAAUUGAGUGGAGAAGUCCCAAUCGUCCUUCGUACUUGGAAAAUUAUAUUACUAAUAAGCUUUUCUUGUAAAAGAAGGCAAAAGGAAUGGACCACAAUGGAGGGCUAUGAUUUUGAUGAGAAAUGGGUUUGGAUGUUGGCGGGGGAUCUUGGUUUAUUUCCAUUUUUUCGAGAUUCGAAGUUUCCUGGAAAAAGGAAGUUGAAUUAGUAGUCAACGACUCGUAGGGAAUUUAGUUGGCUUUUAACCAAGUUUAAAACUUUUUUGUAACUACAGUUACUUACUUAGCCAAAGCCAAAAGCCAAACGGUAAAGCUUGUUCCUUUUGCUUUUCUCCACAGCAUCACAAGUGUACCUCUAGGCUUUGUGACAUGCAAUUCAUCACAAUUAUGGUCGAUUUAUCUUUUCAUAAGAAAAACAACAGCAAUAAUAUAUUGGAAAAAUUGAAAUGCCAAGACAAGACAACUGAUGAAGCAAAUCGAGCAUGGUCUGGUGACAACAUAGCAAUACACUGCUUCAUAGGAUUCUUUCUCUGCUCUCUCUCUCUUUCUCUCUCUCUCUCUCUAUAUAUAUAUAUAUAUAUAUAUUGCCUGAACAGUGAACAGCGCAACUUUUGGUGGGUGAGGGUGAGUGGGGGAGAGGGGAUCAAUCAUCUAUGCAAUUCCCCAGUCCAAAGAUUGGAAACUGUUGGGUCCAUUAUGAACAAUGAAACGCAAAUGUCAACAAAAGUUGUGGCUUUUGGAUGGCCUUCAAUUAAUUUACCAUUUGCCAGGAAAAAAAGAAGGAGGUUGUUGAAAACGUGAGCAGUGAGAGCUCUUAUCAAGUUAUGUAAUAAGAGAAUCUGGUCGGCAAAAAUUUAUGGCACAAAGGGAAAAAAAAUAUGAAAAGUAAUUAUAUAUGCAUAUAAUGAGAUUCCUUUGGCAUCCACGCAUCUACCCAUGUCCUUGAGGCCCUUUUCCACAUCAGCAGCACAUGGUUUGGCCCUGAAAAAUCUUUUGGACACAUUGAUUUCUGUGGCUUACACGCAAUGCCACUACGCCCACCAUGCCUAAAGCUUUCCUUCUUAUUAUCAAAUACACAAAACACAGAAAGAAAGAAACAAAGAUGGAUUUUUCUUUUAUCCAUGAUCCUGCCCAUUUAAUGGGUAAACAACCUACUUUAAUUGUUGUAUAUUCUUCACUGAUUCCUUCAUUUUGCGGCAAUUCACCCUCUCCAUGUACUAUGCAUGCUAUUCAAUUUCCCGUUGAUAAUUUUUAAUUUGUAUUAAUAAUUAAUAAUGAAUAUAUCAUUCGAUAUCUCAAAUUAAAUUAAAUUAAAUUAAAUUUUAAUAAAAUAUUUAAUAAUCUUAGCCACUAAAAAAUAAUGAAAAUUUCGAUUUAAAUUCUUUUUAUGUAAAAUAGUAUAAUUUACUUAUCGGAAAUAUUAAACUAUGUCAAUUUUGUUCCUAAACAUUCGCACAAACAUUUCAACUCCCUCCAAGAAAAAAUAAAUUUGAAUUCACAUGAUUAUAUAUUAAUAAAGAAUUUGAUAUCUCAAAUUAAAUUAAAUUAAUAUUUUUAUUUGAAUAAAUAACUUACGAAGGAAAAAAAAUUAUUCAACAAUUAUAUAUCAACAUGAGAAUCAAUUAAAAAAAAAUUGAAUUCACGUGAUCAAGCUAAAUGUAAAUAUAAUUAUUUCAUUUUUUAUCCAACCACAACAAUGGAUUUAAUUAAAACAACUAUUCCAAUAAAGUAACGAGGAACCAAAAUUAUUCUUACAGUGAAAGAAAACAAGAAGAAGAAGAUAAAAACAGAACAUAUAGUCCUGGAAAUUCAAUUGACAAUGCGAAGAAGGCAGCAGGGAUAAGAUUAUUAUUGCAGAAAAUUAGGAAAAGGUGAUGAAAAUAGAAUUGUUUCCAUAGGAAUGUAAAGGAGUUUUGUGGUGGAUGAUGCAUGGCCAUUGGGUCGCCGUUGUUCUCUGUGAUUGGACUAUUAAUUAAGCAGCUAUAGUAUAGUGGAAGACAAAUCUUUUCUCUUCACUUGUCCUCGGUCCCGUCGCUCCUAUUUUAAACAGCAACUCAUCAUUCUGGUCCUGUGUCCAAAGACGAUUCACUAUUCCAUUUGCAGAUUAUUUUUAAUUUGAUUUUAGGUAAAAUUCAACUUGGGUUUGUAAAAUGUAUUGAAAUUGAUUGAUAGUUCAAGAGGCAUGCCCAAAAUGGGGCUCGAAAGUCAAGCUUCACUUAUCCGGUAACAAUAUUUAAUGGAGGUAUAAUUUCUCAAAAUUUUUUUUUUUUUUUUUAAAAUAGGGGUUGGGGGAGUCGAACCUUAGACCUCUCAGGUCUAUCAAGAUGCACAUUCCAUCAGGCUAAGUCUUGGAGUGCUUCUUAAAAAAUUUUAUUUCUAUCAGUUUUAUUUCUAACAAAUACGUGUAGUUAUCAAAAAUGCAUCCAUUGGAUAUAAUGUUUAAGUUAAUUACAAUAUGAUAAAGUUAUAUGUGAUUAUAAUUUAAUUAAUCAAAUAAACAUUGUUAACUUAGACAGCACAGGGAAUAAAGCUGAGUCUAUAUAUAUAUUUAAAAAGAUAAAAAAGAAAUGUGACUCAAAAAGUUAUCAAUUCGCAAGAGUGACAAAUGUCUUAUUAUUAUGUCUUAUUAUUAUAUAAAAAAAGUAAAUAAAUUAAUAAAGCAAGAGAAAGUUGGCAUUAAUAUUAUUAUAUACUAAUAAAUUAAUAAUACUUUUUAAGUGACAUAAGUUUUUUUCUGUAAUUUUUUUAUAAUUCGAUAUUCUCGUCUUUUUCUCUUUCUUAAAUUUAAUUUUUUCUUUUUUCUUUCUCAUGAAAGACGAUCUGCAUCAAUUGAUUAUCGAUGAAAAAAAUGUUAUUGUCCCUAUUAAGAAUUCCAAAGAUAUUCCGAUCAUCACUUAUGAUUUCUAUAUAGUGAGAAUGUUUCUCACAUACAAUUCAAUCAAUUUUCAGAAUAUGCAGACUUUUUUUCACAGAUUUAUAACGAUAAUUCUCGGACAAUUAAUGUAUUAAAGAAUUUGGUUACUAGUUACAAGCCACACAUUUCAUUUUUUAUAGAAAUAAAAACUCUUAGUUCUCGUAUAAAUUUUUUUUUGUAAUUUUUUACAUUUUGAUAUUUGCUUCUCAGUUAAUAGAUAAGAAUUGUAAGGAAAUCUUUCAUUAAUGUGAAAAAGUCGUGUGUCUGUUUCUGUGAUUAUUUUUUUUUUUAAAAUUUUAUUGAUUUAAAAGGUAAUGUUGAAUGAAAGUUUACUAGUUAUUAUAAGUUUCUGGAAUUGCAACAACAACGUCAGAUAUGAAAUUUUAUUUGAGAUUUAUCUCGUAGAAUCUCUCUUCCGUGGUUUUGUUCGGGAGAUUUUAAUGAUUUAUACUCGAGAGAUGAUAAAGAAAAAGAAAUAUUUUUAUCAAAUUAUCUUAUGCAGGAGUUUAAACAGGCGUUUGAGAAGUAUUUUUAUCAAAUUAUUUUAUGUAGGGAUUUGCUUUUGAAUGAUUGUAAAUAUUUAUUAGAUUCUAGAACUGAUAUUUCUGUUAAAUGGGUUCAUUAUGAUAUUAUUCUAACCGCUCAUAUUUUAUUAAGUAUAAUUAUUUUUCUAUUUGAUGGAUUUUUAUUAAUGAAAUAAGUAAUUUUUUAAAUUAAAAAAAAAGAAAGAAAGGAAAAAGAAGAGGGAGGAGAAAACCCACGAGAUGAUGAGACGAGACGAGACGAAAAAGCAGAGAAAAAAGAAAAGACUGACGAGAAAAGAGUAAUGAACCAAGAUUAGACGGCCCAUGCGUUAAGUAAAAAACCAAAGUAAAAAAUAAUAAUAAUAAUAAAAUAAAGGUUUUGCAGGCAGGCAGGCUCCCAAUUGACGUCCAUUGAAAUUCCGAGGAGAGCAUGCUAUAAAUAGUUGGAAAGGGCCAACCCACAUAGCUCUCAGCUCCUACCCGUCAAAAAGCUUAUACGCCAACUUUCUAUUCUCAGACCCAUUGUAUACACAUUUCCUGAUUUUCUUGUCCCCUCAAUUCAAUAUUUGAUUGGACUCAUUAAAUUCUUGAAUCACUUGAUCCGCCUCCCGUUUUGCAAAUCCUCCAUUACCUUUCAAUCGCUGGUUUAACAAGUAGGUUUACGAGUUUUGUGUUUGAUGUUCUUGGGUUGACUAGGAAAAAAACAGAAACAGAAAAAGAAGAGAUGGAGCAGAAGCAUUUCUUGUUGUCUGCGUUGAGUGUGGGAGUUGGAGUUGGUGUUGGGCUGGGAUUGGCAUCUGGGCAGGGCAUGAGUAGAUGGGCUGGUGGAAAUGGUUCUUCAGAUGAUGUCUCAGCUGAGCAGAUUGAGCAGGAGUUGAUCAGACAGGUGCUUGAUGGCAGAGACAGCAAGGUCACCUUUGAUGAGUUUCCGUAUUACCUCAGGUAAUUAUGCCAUUCCUCUUUGGUUUACAAAUCAUCUGUUAAUGAUUGUGUUUUUCCUUUUUCAUCUGAGAAUUGAAAACACCUUCCUUUGUUUUUCUUUGGUAUACUUACAGUACUCCUGUCCCCCAAAAUUUUCUUUUUCUUUUGAUAAUCCUCAAACAGUUUGCUGUUUGGGGAUCUAAUUAAAUGGACUUUCUUUCCCAUAUUUGUAGAUUCUUGAUUCCCCUAUUUCUCAGCAGAUUAAACUGUAUAAGUUCACUUUACUCUUCCAUAGAUACAAGCUGAGAAAUCAAGAUUCCAAAUAAUAUAUAAUAUUUAUAUUUUAUUCUUAAAGUUCAACAAUGAUUUAUAACAGCAUGGCAACAACUUAUUUAAUAUUGUAGGCACCUAACCUACCACCUUUCUUUUGUUCCCCUUUUUCUUUACUUUAUGAUUUUCAAGAUUUUUGCUUCUUAUGUGAAUGUUUUUACUUGUUGGUUUCUUGAUUAUCAUUGGAUAUCAAUAUACUUUGUGAAUUACACAACUCAGUUAUAAAAGAAAUUUCAGAAUCACGUUAAAUAUCGGGAAACCUUUCCUGACUUGUUGGGGAUGAUGAAAGUUGAGUCAUGAUUUAUACCAGGAUCAAUAAUUGUAACAUUCCUGUGAACUACUUCCAUGACAUUAUUUUGAAUGAUGCCCCAUAAGUUACAUACUGUACUGCAGUUUUUAGGAUUUUAAAUUUUUUGAUGUUCUGAUUCUGAUGAUGAGCGAAUGCAGUGAUGUAACUCGCAUUUCAUUGACGAGUGCUGCAUAUAUCCAUUUAAAGCACUCAGACGUUUCCAAGCACACCCGGAACCUCUCACCUGCUAGUAGGGCUAUUUUGCUCUCAGGACCUGCUGGUAUGCAAGGGGAAAAUAUGCCUUGCAAUUUUUCAUUUGAGUAUCAUCUUUCCAAGUUGAUUUCUAACUUAGUCUUGUUGCAAUUAUCUUCUGAAGAACUUUACCAGCAGAUGCUUGCCAAGGCUUUAGCACAUUACUUUGAAUCGAAGUUGCUGUUAUUGGAUGUUCCUGAUUUUUCCUUAAAGGUGAGUAUGCAAUAUAUUCAAAUAUUCUAUGUCACUUGGCUUCGAGAUUUACUUAUAUUUUCAAUGUUGUGCUUGCUACAGAUACAGAGCAAAUAUGGAUGCACUAAGAAAGAAUCGGUAAGCAUUCUUUUUCAACCGUCAUAUCUCUUUUUUUUUCCCUUCAAAAAACUCAAAGUGAAUCAGACCAUGCAGUCCCAUGGGAUGCUGUGCAUUCUCAAUGUUGAAUUUUUCUACAAUUCAUCUGGUUAUCCGUUUGAGAGGAGUCAAUAACUUAUAGGGCAUUUCAAUAUUCUGAUUUAGUUGCUUCUCCUUGUAGUCUUUCAAGACAUCCAUAUCAGAGGCUGCAAUGGAACGAAUGUCCAGUUUGUUUGGUUCUUUCUCAAUCCUUUCUCCAAAAGAAGUAAAAGGUACAGAAGAACUUAAGUUUCAUUUUUGAAGAAGUCGUACAGCUUUUUCAAUGAAUGCCUUUUGAUGUUUUUCUGAAUGCUUAUGCUGCUAUAGACUGUUGAGAUCUUCACAUCCUAUUCUAAGUUUCUUUUAUGCUAAAACAUUAAGUUAGUUUAUAUUUUGCUUCUAUCUGCUCGGUUGUAUUUGUUCUUUCUGUUUAUAUCCACUAAUUUCUUCACAACAAUCCUACUUGAGAACUUUCUUGUACUUGUAGGUACAUUGUGUGGACAGAGCAGUAAUUUGGAUACUAAAUCAAGGUACCACCUACUCCUUUAAGUACGACUCCCAACAGUAGAGACAUAAAGCUUGGCUGACUAUAGUUUAGUUGUGGGAUUAAGCCCCAUUUGGAUUAGAUGCUGUUCAAUAGUUCUGAGCCUGUCUCUUUGUAAUUGCAGAAGUAUGGAAGGUAUGAAUAAUCUUGGCAAACUUCGCAGAAAUGCCUCUGCUGCAUCUGACAUAAGUAGCAUUGCCUCCCAAUCUGCUUCCACAAACUCAGGUUGCACAUCUGAAAUCAUUUUGUUCUGUACAAUAUAAAACCUUAGAAUCACCUGAUAUUUAAGUUAAUAUCAGUCUAUGUCUAUGAGUUUGGUAAUUUUUCAUUUAGUUGCUAGUUAAUUAGCACUUAAUGAAUGAUGACUUCCACGUUUGUCACAUAAGUAAUCAUGUAGGAUGCACUCAGAGAUACUAAUGUUGGAAUGAGACCUUUCAUGUCAUCCUAUCCUCUAAUUUGCGGAUACUAAGGGAAUUCAUUUGUUUUCAGCUUCUCUCAAGCGAGUGAGCAGCUGGUGUUUUGAUGAGAAACUCUUUCUGCAAUUGCUUUACAAGGUAAUACUUUUCUUUUUGGGAUAACAUGUACACAAUACAGUGCUUAAUACUUGCUAUGUGACAGUUUCUUCUGUUUGUAGACAAACAGAUAACUAGCAUCUAGCUUUAGCUUAUUGCAGCUAAGACUUUGAGUCUUGUUAUUCUUACAGGUAUUGACUUCAAUGUCACAAAGAAAUUCUGUCAUUUUAUACCUAAGGGACGUUGAGCAGGUUUUUCUCCAAUCAGAAAGGAUGUACAACUUGUUCAGUAAAUUCUUGAAGAAACUUUCGGGUUCAAUUUUGAUACUUGGUUCCCGUAUGGUGGACCAAGAAGACGAUUGCAGAGAAGUAGAUGAGAGACUCGCCAUGUUAUUCCCAUACAAUAUUGAGAUCAAACCACCGGAAGAUGAGACUCAUCUUGUUAGCUGGAAAGCACAGCUGGAAGAAGACAUGAAGAUGAUUAAAUUUCAAGAUAACAAAAACCACAUUGUUGAGGUACUUGCAGCAAAUGAUAUUGAAUGUGAGGAUUUGGGUUCAAUUUGUCAUGCAGACACAAUGGUCCUUGGCAAUUACAUUGAAGAAAUUGUGGUAUCAGCAAUUUCAUAUCAUCUGAUGAACAAUAAGGAUCCAGAAUACCGAAAUGGAAAGCUUGUUAUAUCAUCUAAGAGGUAGAUAACGCACCUUUUGUUGUAAGCUCGUUUAAUAUAUAUACAAAUAUUUUAAUUAUUAUUCCAUCUCUGAAGCAGCCUGUCUCAUGGAUUGAGUAUAUUCCAAGAAGGAAAAAUUGGGGGGAAAGGUACUCUAAAACUGGAAACUAAUGGUGAAGUUGGCAAGGUAUGUUUGAUAUUACAAUACAUGUUUAAUGGUUUGAGCAUAACAGAAUUUCGUUUCCUAAUCACUUUCCCUAUUUCAUCAAUUUUAGGAAACUGAAGGGGAAGAGGCUGUUGUUGCAAAGACUGAAUCAAAGUCUGAAACUUCACCUGAAAAUAAGGGUGAAAUUGAGAAAUCUGGUCCUGGUGUGAAGAAAGAUGGCGAAAAUCAAACUCCAGCAAAAACCCCUGUAAGCGAAAGCCAUAGUUAGAAAAUGGAGAUCAAUAUGAUUUUUAGUUGUCUAGCUAAUAGCCUUAUGUUGCUUGAAUCUGACAGGAAUUUCCUCCUGACAAUGAAUUCGAGAAACGAAUCAGGCCAGAGGUUAUCCCUGCAAAUGAGAUUGGAGUGACAUUUGCGGAUAUUGGUGCCUUGGAUGAAACUAAAGAAUCACUUCAGGAGCUCGUCAUGCUCCCUCUUCGAAGACCAGACCUCUUCAAAGGUGGGCUUCUUAAGCCUUGCAGAGGCAUAUUACUAUUUGGGCCUCCAGGCACAGGAAAAACUAUGCUAGCCAAGGCCAUAGCAAAUGAAGCUGGAGCAAGUUUCAUUAAUGUCUCAAUGUCCACCAUCACUUCAAAAUGGUUUGGUGAAGAUGAAAAGAACGUCCGAGCACUGUUUUCUCUUGCUGCAAAGGUCUCACCAACUAUCAUAUUUGUUGAUGAAGUUGAUAGCAUGCUUGGGCAGCGGACCAGAGUUGGUGAGCAUGAGGCCAUGCGGAAGAUAAAAAAUGAGUUCAUGACACAUUGGGAUGGGCUGUUAACAAAACAUGGUGAGCGAAUUCUCGUCCUUGCUGCAACAAACAGGCCGUUUGACCUUGAUGAAGCAAUUAUUAGGCGGUUUGAGCGCAGGUAAGUUUCUUUCUUCAUUUAUUUUGCCUCAAGUUUUUUCUUGAUAGAAUGUCUUAUCCUUCGGAAGAAGCUUUAUUUUUUACAGUACCGUAUCCACAGUUCUUACUGCAAGACUGUUGCUUAGCAAUUGUUUCAGCGUAACAUAAUGCUCAGUAAAUCACUUCCUUUCACCUUAUGUCUUGACAUCCUUUCUGAAAAUCUCAUGGGCUUUAGAAAGAUUUCUCUCCGCCAUGAUUAGUUGCUGCCUUCUAGAUAAUGUUCUUGAUUGUGUUUUCUCUAAUUUAGAUGAUAUAGUGUUAAGCUAGUCACAAGUCUGAAAUGCUGCUCUGAAAGAUGAAGUGGAACCCAUUCACGGAAUUUACUAUCUUUUAAAAGCGUUGAAGAAAUUAGUUAAUGCUUGCUAACUACUAUAACCGUUAUUUUCAAGCAGAAUUAUGGUUGGUCUUCCAUCCAUUGAGAGCAGGGAAAUGAUUUUGAGAACUCUUCUCGCUAAAGAGAAAACUGAGAAUCUGGACUUCAAGGAACUUGCAACGAUGACAGAAGGAUAUAGUGGAAGUGACCUUAAGGUUUGCCCAUUUGUUUCUUAUUUACCCAUAUAUUUAGAGUAUUGAUCUAUUAAAUCUUUCAUUAGCUGUAAUCAGCUCAUAACUUGACCACUUGUAAGCAGAACUUGUGCGUGACAGCAGCUUAUCGACCUGUUAGAGAGUUGAUACAGCAAGAAAGAUUGAAAGAUAAAGUAAUCUCCUAUCCCUUCUUAACUAUUCCUUUUUUUUCAUGGUCUAAUUGUCUCAUUUUAUUUUUAUUUUGUUCUGAAUUUCUUUCUCAAUGAUCUUUCUGCAGGAAAUAAAGCAGAAGGCUGAGGAAGGCAAAAGCUCAGAAGAUGCUUCAAGCACAAAGGAAGAUAAAGAGGAAAAAGUAAUUGCUCUGAGGCCUUUAAACAUGGAAGACAUGAGGCAGGCAAAGAAUCAGGUAAUCUUUCAUGCAAAUUCAAGUCUUUUGUUGUUGAUAAACUCUUAUGUCACCAACUCACCAUAUGCUUAUAGCUUUCUUGUGUCUGUAACGUCUUUAUCUCUACUUAAGAUGCCACUUUCUUGUGGUCACACUAGUUUCAGUUUCUCGAAGAAAAGUAUUCCAGAAAUAGAGCAAUUCUAAAUGAAUUCCGCAAUGCAGGUUGCUGCAAGUUUCGCAUCUGAGGGAUCAAUAAUGGGUGAGCUAAAGCAAUGGAAUGAUUUGUAUGGAGAAGGAGGUACAAGGAAGAAGCAGCAAUUGACUUACUUCCUCUAGAUUGUAGAAAGCUGUCAUCUUGGAGGCACAUCAGUAAUGAGGAGGCUAAAGUUCAAGGAAAAGCUCUUGCACUGCAGGCAUACAACAAUGCAGCAUUGAAUAGAAGGCAGAGUCAUCAGAGUGAAAUUCUAGAAACUACAGCAGAGCUUGUUUCAGUGUUCUAUUGUUUGCUUAGGCCAUUCUAAGAACAUUGGAAACCACAUUUGGUAUUGUAAUUAUGUUGUGGUAGUUGAAAAUGCAUACGGGUUUGAGGAAUUUUGGUUGGAGGAGCCCUUUAUGUUGGGUUUGUUGGAUAAUUUGCAGCCUAUGAACAACAUCCGCGUACAGUAGCAUUUGUAUAUUGGUCAUGUAUAAACUCGUAUAAGUCUUGUAGAAUUUAAUUUACGUGUGAUUGGAGAUCCGAGGUUUAAAUCAAUUCAACUCCCACAAUCAAAGCACUAACUGCAGAACCUACAUUGUAGACUGUGGAGCUUUGCACAGUGAAUUUCCUUCUGCUAAGAAUAUUUACUCUUAAGAUUAGAAGAAAAGAAAAUCAUAUGAAUCGCAAUUAUUCUGUGGAAUAAAAUACUAGGCUUCUGGAAAAAUCAUUUUUAUAAUUGAUUUUAGAAAAAAAUACUAUUUAAUCCUUAUAAUAUAUAAAAAAUUACUAGUUAAUCUCUCGAUUUUAAAAUAUAUAUUAAAAUAUUUUUGAUAUUUUAAAAAAUAUAUUAAUAAAUCUCUCUAAUAAUUUUACCUUUAAAUAUUUUAUUAUUUAAUUUUUAUAUUUUUAAAAAAACUUAUUAAUUGAUCCAUUAAAUUUUUAUAAAAUUUACUAAUUAGUCCAUUUGUAUCUUAAAUUUUUUUAUAGUACCUAACGCUAAAACUAAUGGAGUUAACAAAUAGUCUUUUUAAAAUGUGAGAAAUAUUUUAAUAUACUUUUUAAAAUUAAAUAAUCAAUUAAUGAGUUUAUUCAUAUUAUAAAGACUAAAUAGUAAUUUAUCCUUAAUUUUAUAUAUUUUAUAUAUAGUGCGCAACUAAAGGGACUACGGCCCUUAAUUAUUUUUAAAAUUAUGUUAAUAGAUUAAUAUAAUUUGAUUUUUUAUUAUUUAAUCUUAAUGUCCUAAAUAUUAAUAAAAAAAGUAUAUAUAAGAACACUAUGUUUUUAGUUUUCAUUAAUUCCUCAAAUUUUUUAUUAAUCUCUAAUAAUUUCUAAUUUUUAAUUUAGUAUUAAGAUGAAAGUAUUAAACUUAUUUGAUUUUCAUAAAAAAUAUAAAAAAUUAAUUAAAUUAAUUAUUUAAAACUUACACUCACAAUUUAAUUUUAGUUUGAUGGUAAGUGUAUUCGAGUAAAUUUGAGAGGUUAAGUUCUACUUUUUCAAUUUUUAAUCUCAUUUUUAAAAAAAAUUAUUCAAAAUUUUUGUAUUAACAAAUUAAAAUUUAAUAAAUAUUUUAUUUUAAAUUUCUAGUUCCGCUAAGUGUGUAUAUAUGUAUAUAUAAAUAUAUAUAUAUGUAUCCACUAGGUUACAUAUUUAAGGUUGUUUGAUCAACCUGUAUUGGGUGCUCUGUCUCUCCGUUUCUCCUCUUCCUACUGUUAUUUCAAUUCCAAUAGGAAGGUAUGAAAAGGCCUUAUGAAGAAUUCUCCCUUAGCCAGUAGCCUGCAAAGAUCUAAGCUUGGUUCUCAGAGAAGCUCAUCUCAACAUCCUCUACACCAUGCGUCUUAUUACUGAACAAGUCUGCAUAAGUGUUUAUCCCGUGAUUUACAGAAUUUAACGAUUUAGGUAUUUGAAAUUUAUAUUUCCCACCAUAGAAUUCAAUGGGAUGUAGAUUAACAGUGUAUAUUGAUUGUAGUGUGUGCAUUGAUUGUAGUCAUUCAUAUGAGCAUGUAUAAAGCGGAAGUGCAACAUCAGACAAAAUAGAAUUUUAAUUUCCAUUAUAUUAAAUUAAUUUAUGGGCGUCCAAGCACCCCAGUAGCAGAAAGUAGAUAUCUUUUAAUCACAACACCACCUUUGAUAAACUCCUCUUAACAGAAUUGCCUAGUCUCUAUAGGAACUUAGCCAACACUACAACGGUCCCUCUUUAAUCCUUCUUCUUUUCCUUCAAUGGCCCCUUUGGAAUUUUACUCAAAUACUUUGCAUCCAAUUCUGCAUACUGUUUCUUGAUCUCAAUCCAUGCCUUCUCAGAAAAUGAAUCAACAUGGUCCUCAUAUUUCUCGUAGAACACAGGCAGAGAGUGCAGCAAAACGAAGGCUGUUAAAAAGAAAUAUAAAUAUGUCAAGAAGUGUCAACAAACAAGUUCUUACAUUUACAAUUUUCAAACGAUAAUCUAAUUUUAUCCGCAGAAUUCUAUACCUAUGUAGAUCAAGGUCAAGAAGUUGAACCAACUCCCAACAAUGGAAAGAACCCACAAGCCAGCAAUUACCUGACAGCCAUAAAAGCGAUCAUACCACAUAAUUAGCAGCCACAGCAUAUAAUCUCAGUACAUGUUUAAAUGUGCCAAUGCGACUCUAUGAUCCAUUUAUAACAUCUGUAAAUUGGCACAUCAAUCGGGCCAAAAUACUGGAAACUACUUGGAAGCAAACGUGUCCUGAAAGUACAAAUGCCUAGAAAGCAAUAUAUACAAAUCCUCUCUCCAACAAAGACUUCUCCAUUACAAGGUGAAACCACAUUACAAAAUGCAAGCAUUCAACUUACAGUAAGGAACUUCUUCACAUCUUUCCCGGAUGCAAUAACAUGUAAUACGGCCAACGCUCUAUUAGUUUCAAGUCUCAAUGCAGAUGCCACUUCCAGGACACGUUUUUCAGGGAUCACAAUUUCUGGGAUUUCAGGUGGGGACCUAAUUGAAGAACACAAUAAAGCCAGGAUCAGGAGGAAAAAGAAUCACAUCGCUGAAACUGCAGACUGGGGAAAAAAGAAAAAGGAAACUCAACACCUUACUUGUUAAUAAACGUGGAUGCAUUGGACCACAGAAAAAGGAUAGCAAGCGAGAGUAUUGAUAUAUGACAAAUCAGAGUGAUUAAGUGGUAUUCAAGCAAUUCGAAGAGAACCCAGACUGUGGUUGCCGCACCCAGAAUACUUGCAGAAAUUCUAUUGUUCCUCCAGAGAAGAACAUCAGCAGCUAAACCAAAAAAUCUAUAAAUAAUAAGUGUGAGGAAGAAAGAGAAAGAAUUCGGAGAAACAAGAGAUUAUUCUCCCAGGGCUUUUAAUAUGUUAACUAAAUAUCAAUUUCUGCUGCUCUUUCCAAUUCAUGGUACCAUGCUAUAUGGAAAUGUUGAAUGCCAAAAACUACGCCGUUACAAGAUACUCCAAAUUUGUAUUUCUGAUAAUUAAAAUAAGGGCGGAAUAUUAUAUUACAAAAAGAUGCUUAAUGCCAGCAUUCACGUAAUGAUUUUGAAUGAGGAAUUAGCACAAAGGUUAAUUAAUUAAAGUAUGGAAGAAUAUUAGAUUCAUUGGAUGUGAUAGAGAACUUGCUUAAAUUAAUUUAAAUUAUAUUAAAAACCACACAUUGUCGUACGUAAUUCAAUCUAUAUUCAAAUAAAGCUCUAAUUAAUUACUUCAUCAAUCUAAUCACUCACAGAAAAUCUAUGUAUAUAUGAAAUUCAAUUAUCAUAAUUUUAAAUCUCUCCAUCCAAAUGACCAAUCUAUAAUUGAUCAUUAAAGCCAUCAGCAUGUGGUCACAAACUGACAAAUCAUUACAUACCGCUAAUGACAAAACAAUGACGCAUGACACAUGUAAUUCCAAUUCCAAAACAUCUAAUUGCACGAAUGAACGAACCUAGUCUGCUCGAAUUGAAUUUCAAAACUUGCCGCUACUGCACGCUUUAGCCAAGGACACAAAGCAGUAGAAUUCUCAAUAACAUAUAAGUUAAAACUAUACAAAUUCCUGAAAAUCAACAAUCAUUUUUUCUAGCAGCAAAUCGAAUGUCAAGUUAAUUAUCACGAUAGACAAUCUAAAAAAAAAGAAAAAUAAUCAAAUCCCGUGUAGCUACACGCUUUAAAAAAAAGUAAAGGAGAAUCUCAAAAGCAUAUACAAAAAUUAGAAAGAAAAACAGAAUCCUCAUUCAAUAUUUGAUCAUUGAUCAAACACUCAGAAAAAUGAAUUAAAGAACACAAUCGCAAAUGUUUAUAAGACAGCGAGAGAGCAAGAGAGAAGAAUGGUACGUUUUCCACCGCCCAAGACUUUGUGGAUGGGUUUCUCUCUUCCAAAGAGACGAAAUAUCUUCGAUUUGACGGCAUCAACCUUGGAAGGUUUAUCAUCGUCGGAAUCAGAGGAAGAUGAAUCGUGACCGUGGAUCUUCUCGGUGAUCUUAUCCAUUAGCGAUUCAACGACUGAAUGCUCCGCCAUAGAUCUUCGCCGCGAAAAAAAAAACAAGAGAAAUUCGUGUCCCCGUGUGAUAUGAAAAGGUUUGCCAAGCAAUGCAAGGGGAAUUCAGGUUUUCUAGUAUGAGGCUUUGAUGGAGGAAUGGGAGCGAUACGAGAUGAAAUAUGAGCGGUUGAGAGGUUUACAAGUCUGUGCUUGAGGCAUGGAGAACGAACCUUCUUGAUAUGGAAAUAACGGAAAACGAGGAACGUUGCUGGUGUCUGGGGAACAUCGCGAGAGAAUUCAUCCUCACCAACUGUCAUGGCUGUGACCAUCUUCAGCUAAUCAAAAUUUACUACAUACAUCAAUUUUUAUCAUCCAAACUUAAUUAAAGAAUAAUAUUAAUUCUGAGAGGAACAAAAAUAUUAACCCUCCGUCUAUUUCUCAUAUAUAUUUUCUUUAACAUUUAUGCUAUGUUGGGACAAAAUUGUAGAGAGGAAGAAGGAUGGGUGAAAAAAUAAAAAAAUAAAAGAAAAUAAAUUUAUUUUUUAUUUAAAAAUGAAAGAAAUGAAAAAAAUAAAUAACUGAAAAUUGUAAGAUAUUCUUAUUGUGUAACUUACAUUUUUGCUAAUAGUAACGAAAUCAAAUCUAUAAUAAUACAUUUUACUCAAAUCGUCCAUUUAUAUUUUUUAUAAGGGUGGAAUAAAUUAUAUAUAUAUAAUAAAUAAAUUUUAUUCUGUUCAAAAAAAUAAAUAAAUAAAUUUUAUUUUUAUAUCAAUUUAUUUUAUUAAAAAAAUAUGAAUUGUAUCAAACAUUUGUACAUGUGAAAUCCAACCAUCUUUAUAUUUUUUUAAUUAAACUUAUAAUAUUGUCAUAAAAUUGAAUAUAAAUAAGAAUAGUGUUAUAAAGAAAAUCUAAAGAAAAAUUCAUGUUAGAAGUUUCGCUCUAUAAUUUCUUUGUGACUUGAUACUCUCACCUUUUUCUUUUUUUUUAAAUUUAAUUUCUUCUACUCCCUUCCUCAUGGAAGACGAUCUACGUCAAUUGACUAUCGAUGAAUUAAAAAAAUGUUGUUGUCCCUAUUAAGAGUUAUUAAUUUCUUCUACUCCCUUCCUCAUGGAAGACGAUCUACGUCAAUUGACUAUCGAUGAAUUAAAAAAAUGUUGUUGUCCCUAUUAAGAGUUAUUAAUUUCUUCUACUCCCUUCCUCGUGGAAGACGAUCUACGUCAAUUGACUAUCGAUUAAUUAAAAAAAUGUUGUUGUCCCUAUUAAGAGUUACAAAGAUAUUCUGAUCGUCACUUAUGAUUUAUGUAUGGUAGGGAUGUUUCUCACAUACAAUCCAAUCAAUUUUCAAAAUAUGCAGAUGUGACGGUCAGCUGCUUCCAGCUGCCUGCUUGCGGAUUUGCGGCGCAAAUCCGUCCCACAUCGGAAAAUUGAAAGAAAAUUGAUUUAUAUAUAAUAGCUAGCUCAGAACUACUAAAUAACUUAAGCAAAUCCGUCCCACAUCGGAAAAUUGAAAGAAAAUUGAUUUAUAUAUAAUAGCUAGCUCAGAACUACUAAAUAAUUUGGGAUAACCAUUUUGGGCCAAGUGGAAAGUGGGUCUAAAAGUUAUUUGGGCCAGUUUGGGCACGGCUGUUUCAAUUGGUAUCAGAGCCACUCUGGGUCAGAAAAAUUGUGCGGAGCUAGUGGACCUGCGAGGAAAGGGCUACCCGUGAGAGACGAGGUGGAGCCACCCGAGGUACUAGCGAACCACAAUACCUAAGGGUCCGGUUCUGGUUAGCAAUUGUAAUGGAUUCAGUUGCGACGAGGACGUCGCAAAAUUUAGCGGGACCGAGUGUGACGGNNNNNNNNNNNNNNNNNNNNNNNNNNNNNNNNNNNNNNNNNNNNNNNNNNNNNNNNNNNNNNNNNNNNNNNNNNNNNNNNNNNNNNNNNNNNNNNNNNNNNNNNNNNNNNNNNNNNNNNNNNNNNNNNNNNNNNNNNNNNNNNNNNNNNNNNNNNNNNNNNNNNNNNNNNNNNNNNNNNNNNNNNNNNNNNNNNNNNNNNNNNNNNNNNNNNNNNNNNNNNNNNNNNNNNNNNNNNNNNNNNNNNNNNNNNNNNNNNNNNNNNNNNNNNNNNNNNNNNNNNNNNNNNNNNNNNNNNNNNNNNNNNNNNNNNNNNNNNNNNNNNNNNNNNNNNNNNNNNNNNNNNNNNNNNNNNNNNNNNNNNNNNNNNNNNNNNNNNNNNNNNNNNNNNNNNNNNNNNNNNNNNNNNNNNNNNNNNNNNNNNNNNNNNNNNNNNNNNNNNNNNNNNNNNNNNNNNNNNNNNNNNNNNNNNNNNNNNNNNNNNNNNNNNNNNNNNNNNNNNNNNNNNNNNNNNNNNNNNNNNNNNNNNNNNNNNNNNNNNNNNNNNNNNNNNNNNNNNNNNNNNNNNNNNNNNNNNNNNNNNNNNNNNNNNNNNNNNNNNNNNNNNNNNNNNNNNNNNNNNNNNNNNNNNNNNNNNNNNNNNNNNNNNNNNNNNNNNNNNNNNNNNNNNNNNNNNNNNNNNNNNNNNNNNNNNNNNNNNNNNNNNNNNNNNNNNNNNNNNNNNNNNNNNNNNNNNNNNNNNNNNNNNNNNNNNNNNNNNNNNNNNNNNNNNNNNNNNNNNNNNNNNNNNNNNNNNNNNNNNNNNNNNNNNNNNNNNNNNNNNNNNNNNNNNNNNNNNNNNNNNNNNNNNNNNNNNNNNNNNNNNNNNNNNNNNNNNNNNNNNNNNNNNNNNNNNNNNNNNNNNNNNNNNNNNNNNNNNNNNNNNNNNNNNNNNNNNNNNNNNNNNNNNNNNNNNNNNNNNNNNNNNNNNNNNNNNNNNNNNNNNNNNNNNNNNNNNNNNNNNNNNNNNNNNNNNNNNNNNNNNNNNNNNNNNNNNNNNNNNNNNNNNNNNNNNNNNNNNNNNNNNNNNNNNNNNNNNNNNNNNNNNNNNNNNNNNNNNNNNNNNNNNNNNNNNNNNNNNNNNNNNNNNNNNNNNNNNNNNNNNNNNNNNNNNNNNNNNNNNNNNNNNNNNNNNNNNNNNNNNNNNNNNNNNNNNNNNNNNNNNNNNNNNNNNNNNNNNNNNNNNNNNNNNNNNNNNNNNNNNNNNNNNNNNNNNNNNNNNNNNNNNNNNNNNNNNNNNNNNNNNNNNNNNNNNNNNNNNNNNNNNNNNNNNNNNNNNNNNNNNNNNNNNNNNNUUUUUUUUCUCAUUAUCAUUUUUUUCUUUUCUUUUUUUAGCAUCAUUAUAUUCUUUGUUUUUCUUUUUUUGAAGAAAAUAAGAAGACUGAGAAAAAACGAGGGAAAAGAACUAUUUCAUUGACGAAAAAAAUCGAUAAGAAUAUUUUAAUAUAUAUGAAAAAAGAUAAUAACGUUUUAAUAAAUUUUUAAAAAUAUAGGCACUGACUUGUUAAUAAUAAAAAUAUUCAAUAACUAAAGAAGUAAUUUUAUUUGAGGGUGAAAUUAGAUUUUAAAAAUUUUUUUUCUCAUCUUUUAUAUAUUUUUAACGAAAAAGAAAAUACAAUGAGUAUUUCAUUGAUAAAAAGAAAAAAUAAAAAUAUUUUAAUAAAUUUUAAAAAACGAUAGAAAGUGAAUUGUUAAUAAUACAUAAAGAGUGAAUUGUUAAUAAUAACAAUAUCUAAAAAUUAAAUGUGCCUAAUUUAGUUUCUCUCCCAUUUCAAACAAUCUAAAUAACCACAUAGAGUAAUCAGCAACAUUAAAUAAUAAAAAAAUAUUUUUUUCAAAUAAAAAAUUAUAAUAUUUUAAGAAAAAUGAUAUUUUUUUAAUAAGUUAUUUUUUUAUAUCUUUGAGGAUUUUUAUUAAAAUAUUUAUUUAUAAAUUUAUUAAUAUAUUUUAUUUUUAAAUUAAAAUUAAAUAAUAAAAAAUAAAUUAUUUUAUUAGUAAAAAAAAUAUUUUUCAUAUAAAAUAUUUUUCCAAAAAAAUAUUUUUACAUAUAAGUUAUGUUUAAAAAAUAAAUGGAGGUUAAGAAAUCUGUUUGGUUACAAAAUAACUUAUAUUUGAGAAAUUCUUUCUGUAAAAAAUAUUUUUCGUCAAAAUAACUUAAUUUAUAAAUUUAGUUUUAGUUUUAAAAAUAAAAUAUAUUAAAAUUUUUUUUAUAUAAAGAUAUUAAUAAAAUUAGUAGAAUGCAGAAAAUGAAUUUUUUAAAAAUAAUUUAAUUUUUUCUUUAAUUAAAAAAAUACUUUUUAUUUAUUAAUUUUUUUAAAUAUUUCAAAUAUUAAAAAAUAUAAAAAAAUAAUUUUAAAAAAUAAAGACUAAGCCUCCAUUCGUUUCACCAAAAAUAUUUUUCAUAAAAAUACUUUUUAUAUUUUUUAAUAUUUAGAACAUUUGAAAAUUUUAAUCAAUAAAAAAUAUAUUCUGAUCAAAGAAAAAAUUUAAAUUAUUUAAAAAAAAGUUUAUUUUUCAAGAAGUGAAAGUGAUUUUUCAUAUUUUAUUAAAAUUUCUAUAUAUAAAUAGACCUUUUAAUUUCAAUUUUUUUUAAUUUAUAGAAAAAUACUUAUGAAUACAUAAAAUAUAUAUUUUUUUAUUUUUCUUUCUUUCUCAUUUUUUCUUGUCAAUUAGAUAAAGGUUAAUAAUAAUAAUGGUAGCAGUAGGAUAUAGCCCUGGCUCGUGCGUCAUCAACGUGAUUGGUGAAUUUUUCGGGCCAGGGUUUGUUAUUGUCAGACCCAUUCGGGCAUUUGUGAGAAGGAAGUUUAUCAACCGAUCUUCUGGGUCAGUAUCAUUGGGCCACAUCUACAUUGCUAUUAUAUUUAUUUUCUUGAAUUUUCAUUUGAAUGUAGAAUAAUAUAAUUAAUGAAGUUUAAGGAGUAUGAAAAUUAAAAUAAAAGAUAAUUGAUAUAAAAAAAAAAUCUAGUUUAAGUUGCUAAGCUUAUAAUGCAGUAACAUGUUGUUUUGGAGUAGCUAUACUCCUACUAAACUGAAAGACCCCACAAACUGACAAAAUGCUUUUGAGGAAUAAAUAAUUUGACCAACCCUAACAAAAAGUACAAAAGUUCACGUUACGCUACCUAUUGAAUUUAACAGAAGUUUUCAUGGGAACAAAGCUAUCUUACACCUGAAAUUAUUAAAACAAAAAAUGAAAGGAUAAAGAGAAAGCCAGAACCAAAGGAAUACCAAGACAAAAUUAUGAUUCAGGGUGCAGAAUCUUACAAGUUAUGACCUAUGAUGCUCAUCAUACCAUUAUUUAUUUAUUUAUUUUUCAAAUAAUUAAAUGUAACAACAGAGUUGGCUUAAGGCAUUUUUGCUCAAUCAAAGACGUGCAUACCACAAACAAUAAAAAGAUAAAACGCUGUCAAAUCGGCAUUAACGACACCGUUUGGUGAAAAAUGUCCUCUUAAUUUCUUCUGGAUCACGUCCCAGGACAUGACUGUUAUUAUGGAAGUUGUGGUUUGGCAAUCAAAGUUUCCUGACAUUGAAGAAAGUAUCAUGCAAAAUUCACUGGGAGCACUUAAUAAUGACACACAUCUAUUGCGUACCCAGACGAGCUUGUGCCUCUAGAACCUAAAUAGGCAACCAACCAGGCAUUAUUUAAGAUUAAAAAUGAUGGGUACGUUAUUAAUAUUGUAUGCUUGCCCAUGAAUUCUUCCAAGCCUUUUAGGCAUGGAUUCCCUUUGUUUCCACUGGGCUAUCUUUCUUUCUCUGCAGAAUAUUACAAUUUUCCCAAAAAGAGUGUGAAGUUCACCAAGCCAACGUUUACAAGUCAAAGCCUUUAUUUUUGCAAAGACUUGGUCCUCUCUAGGGCUAGGGCUAUGGCCAUGGCCAUAUUAAAAACUGUAUGAUUUAAAGGGGUUUGGACUCAGGAGAGUACUCUCUUUAUAGCUUGGGGUCCAAAAGCAUGACAUGCGUGCCCCCAAGCUACACCAAUGCCUUUGCCUUGUAAAAUAAGCCAAUUUCAGACUUCACUAGCAGAUCUUUUGAGGCCUCUGUGUAAAAGUUAAAGUUCCUUCUCUCUCUCUUUGCACCAAUGUUACAAUGUAAUGUUACUAGUGUGUAAACAUGACAUUACCUUUCCUAUUUUGCUUGGAGUCUUUUCUUUUUGGCCUUUUGCUCUUUCAUUUUGCUUUCUCUUAUCUUUUUGGAAGUUUCCCAUCACCACCCUCCUUACUUUUCAACCCAUGAGUCAAUGACUAUGGCCUCUGCUGAGAAAAAGGAAGCCCUUUCAAUUUCACUUUAAAGCUUUGGACAUCGGAUUUCAAGUUUAACUUUGAAAUCCUACAACCGUCUCUUUAACAAACCACUUGAUUUGAAUACAUUGAUUAUUCAUUUUGAAGGCGCUUGAUUGUUGAUUCCAUCUCUUAUCAUGCAUUCUGAAUUUUAGUUUUAAAAUUUGCAAAUAAUUGCCUAAUUAUAACUAACUCAUUUAUAUUAUAGAAUGAUAAAUUAAAAUAAAUAAAUAAAUAAAUUCAUUCUUACAGAAAAAUUUCAUCAUGUCCCACCGACGACAUAAAAGUUAUUGGACUGAUUUCAAUCCUUUAUGAGUGCAAUCUUGCUUUUAAUCAGGUUUGAAUUUGGCAAUUUGUGUAUUGGAGUUAUUAGAUCAUUGAUUUAAGGUUAAUCUAUUAUUAAAUCUCCAUGUGUUCAAACGAAAAAAAAAAUGAAAAUUAUGGAUUAAACUAUGCAUUCCUUAUUUUAUAAACAAGUUUUUUUAAAAAUAUAAAGAAUAAACCUUAUGCAAAUUAGAAAACAAUAUAAUUUCGUUUUAAAAAUCGCAAAACAAAUUUAGAACAUCUAAAAUUUAUUUGAUUUUCAUUAUUGAAAUUAAACUUUAUAUUAAUAAAUGGUAUUAAAAUUAAUUCAAAAUUAAUCAAUAUAUUUUAGUUAUAAGAAUUUCAAAGCAAUUAAACAUUUUUUAAAAUUUACUUUUCAAUCAAUUCUCCACGUACUUGUUAGAACCGCGUGUGGUACAGCGCGUGGGGCUAAUAAUCAAUCGUAAAAUUCAAAAGCUCUGUUUCUGGGCACUGGGCAAAUUCUGCAACUCUGCCCUCGUAAGUACGUAUUAGUAGAUGCUUUGAACUCACCAGUCACCACCUCUCUUCCUCCAUAGAUAGUCUUAUAAUCUCUCUCAUCUUCUCAGUCUCAGACUGCUAAGCCUGCAUAACAUUUGGGUACAUAUAACAAAAGCAGACCUCUCUCUCUCUCUCUCUCUCUAUACAUUUCAGAAGCAGAAACUAGCUUACUUCACUCUCUCUGCUUCCUAUGAAACGCCAUUUUCAAUGCUGCAACGUUCACAAGCCUAAUACGAUAUGUAAAAGCUAUCUUUAUCUCGUACUCUCCUCACACGUUCUGUCUCUCUCUUUGCUCCCACUAUAAAAACCCUCCUUUCAAAGCCCUAAACAAGUUGCUCACUCCCAUCUCUCUCAGAUCCUCCUCUUUUCUCUCUCUUUUUUCACCAUGGAAGCUCUGUACUUCUUCAAGUUCUGGAGACCCAACAAAAAUUACCUACCCUCUAAUGGAAAUAGUGACACCACCGAGAUGGCAACAACUGGGGUCGAUACAGAUGAUGAGUUAAAUGAAGAGGAAGACUCCUUCUUUGAAUUGGAGUUUACUGUGCCUGAUUUUGACAACAAUAAGUGCGAAAACAAAAACGGCAUCCCACUAGACAGCGAUAGUAACACUUUUGACUCUAAGCAAAAAACUCUCCACAACUCGGCCAACAAAGCCGGCAAUAUCGAGCACAAAUUUCCACCACCAACUGUUUCUCUGUCUCCUACUGAUCUCCUCUCUAAAAGAAAGAUCCUUCCUGUCGAGCCCAUAUCUAAACCUCAGUCUCCCAUCUCCCCCCUUAAAUCAGCUCCAAGUUUUAGAGUCCUCAUGUUCAAGAAAUCAAAGUCAAUGGCAGAGCAUGAAGCAGGAAAAACUGGGGAAGCAGAGUUGAAGGGCGUCUUUGUCGACACUCCAAAGAAUAAAAAGCAAGAAAGCAAGCUUUUCACAGUUAAAUUCAAGCUCAAAGAAGCUGCAAAUGUUCCUAUGUUCACAAGGGAAAAUAGUUUGAGAAAACAGAUCUCAGAUGAUUCAUUCCCUAAUGAUUCAUCAAGGAGAUUCUCCAAGGAAGUGAUACAAAAGUACUUGAAACUAAUCAAGCCCCUGUACAUCAAAGUUUCCAAAAGGCAAAGUAACAAGCCGAAAUUCUCAGGGGAGUUAUCAGCGCCAUCACCGUCAUCUUCUCCAGCAACACUACCUUCUGGUUCGCCGAAGGAGAAACAAGGGAGUAUUCCAGCGGGGAUCCGAGUGGUCUGUAAGCAUCUAGGAAAGAGCAAAUCCGCAUCUGCGGCUACCACAGUUCUGCCAUCAACGGUAACUAGGAGAGAUGAUUCGCUGCUUCUGCAGCAUGAUGGUAUUCAAAGCGCCAUCCUGCAUUGCAAGAGAUCUUUCAAUUCUUAUAGUUCUAGAGGUACAAUUGUUUGUGCUAGUAUUCUUAUUAUUUAAUUGCAAUUAUUUUAAGCCUGAAACUUAAGCAAAUUUCAUUGUCAAGGCCACUAUGGCCAUAAAAAAACUCUCUAUUUGCUUAGUUAUAAAUGCAUGAAAGUUUUAAUCUUUUUUAACUUCGAAUUCGUUUCAGAUUCUUCCUUCUUGUCGCAAUAUGAGGGUGAUACUUUGAAUGAUAAAUCUAUGGAUUCACCGAGAAUUUCCCAUGAAGAGAAAGGAGUUCAUUAGCAUUUUCAAGCCCCAUAUCUCAAUUCUCAGGAGAGGAAAAAGCGGGAAAAUUGCUGUUCUAUGAAACUGAAAGCAAUACAAAGAAAAGAAAUUGAAUGGGGGGCUCUGUUUUUGUUUUGUUCUAAAGAAAAGAGAAAAUGGUUGAAAAAAGAAAAAAAGAACAGAAAGAAUCAAAGUUAUAGGCAGGUAGAUUAGUUUUGUGAUCCUUAGCCAUGGACAUGAUGGUGAGUAAGGACAAAUGGGUUCCCGGUUGUUGUCUGUAAAGUUGAUGGGUCAUUAUGAGUAACUUGAAAGGAAAUCUGAUAUUGGGAUCUUUUAUUUUUUUGCAUCAGAAUACUAUUCUCUGUGCGGUCUUGUAUUCUGCAGUUCAGAUAAUGUUUUCUUAGAAAUAUGGCUUCAAUUUUUCUUAGUGAUCAUUUCUUCAUUUGAAAGCUGAAAUGAAAAUUACUUGACAAGAUGUGCUUUUCAUUACCUUCUAGGACAGAAUCAAGACUGCACAUUCAAAUAUUGAAGGCUAGUACGUGAUACAAUAAAUAAAACUUGGAACUUGGAGAAUUUUCUUCUCUGGAUUAAGUGAAAUAGCUGUUGGUUAUGAUGAUUAUCUGCCGAAAUGCUUUUGAACUUGGAGGUCUCUAAACCAGAACAAGCCCACUAAGUAGGUGGAAUUUAAGUAUGGGAAAUGGGUAAUGAUACCAAAGAUUCUCACUCACAGCUUGUUGAUUCACAAGUACAAGAAACAGAGGGACCUAAUCAAAGAGUUCCAGGUAUCUAAUAAUUUCAUCAAGGCACCAUCUUUGCUUUUAUAAAGCACUGUGGAACAGUAAGAAGCAGUUCAUCUCUGGUAAUUUCAAAGUGUUUUUUUUUUUUUUUUUUUUUUUUUUUUCUAAAAGCACAUCAUGGUAUCGAUUAUAGAUGUUCUCUUGAGUUCCCCUUUGCCCUGGGCAGUGGGCACUGGGAGUCAGCAAUCCCAUCAGCUGACAUAAAAAAAAUGCUUAUUCAAAUUGUCUCCUGGACCCUGGUUCUUGCACCAACUAAUGAUGGACUAAAAAUCUCUGCAAACAACUGUGGUUGAUCGAAUUUCAUAACCAGUUUUUAGGGAUUUUUUUAACUUUUGCUUUGAUUCUUAUAGUGUCACUAUUCCUUGCAAUAAUUAGGUGAAGGAUAGAGUUGUAUUAAAUCUGCUUCUCAAGUCUCCCCUGUCAUUUGCAUAUAUAAUAUGUGAUGUUGGAUGUCUCUUGAAGUAUGUGAUCUGUAAUGGAUCGUGCAGUAAUGAAUUAUUGUUAUCAAAAUAACUUCAAAGGGAUUAGAUAGUUAAACAACUUGUAAGCAAAGAAAAUUGAUGGGCUUGUCGUUGACACUGGACAAUAACAUGCUACAUGUUGCAAAAACAACCAAACUCCUUAUCAAGGACAAUUGUCCUUGCCAUGUCAAAUUUCAAAGGCAUGAAUUUUGAACAGUGAAAAAUCAAAGGCAUAAUAAAUAAUGGGCAGUUGAAAUUAUGGAAUGGUCGAGUCUGGAAGAUGAUAAAUGAGAUGAGGAACAACAGGGGCCAAGACUCUGCAAUCUGCACAGCCAAAUUUCCAAGGCACAAUCAUGAUGACAAGAAAUGCCAAAUGACCAUAAAACAUAACCCCACUUCCCAUUUCAAGUUUUCAACCCUUUACCCCGCAACUGCAAACGCUAUGGCCCCUCUUCAUCACUUGUAGAUGGGUUUUGACAAAUUUUUUUUUAUUAAUUCAAAUUUAAAUAUGAAAUUUCUCAUAAUUUUAAUUAGUGUAUUUUUUUGUAUUGAUAGAACAUAUAUAUUUAUGUUGACGUAUUUUGCUAGCCUCUUAUUCCAUUAUAUUAAUUUUAAAUUAAUAGACUUUAAAAUUAAUAAAAAGUUUAAAUUAAAUCAAAUCGUAUUAAAUGACAAUGAAACCUGUCCUACCUGAUGAUCAAUUGUCAUAGAGAUGGAAACUAAACUGUACCUGCCGCUGGCAAUGUCUACCUUGAAGAAACCAACCAGCUAGCAUUCCAAGAAGCACAUAAUCACACAAAAUAAAAUCAUUGGAAAACUUAUACCUCUGCACCUUCACUCUAACUUUACCUGGAAUCCAUUUUUCUUACAUGAAAACUUCACUGAAAACGCACCCAUAAUUAGGUGGCAAAUACAUGUUCAUUUUCAAGCAAAUAUGGGAUUAUUGAAUUUUAAAUAUAAAUUAUCAAUUAAAUCUACAAAAUUAUAGAUACAUAUUGAGUUUGAAAAAAAACAAAGUUAAUUUAAAUAUUAAAAAUAUUAAUCCAACGUAAGUUUAACUGUUGUAACUUAACGUUGCCAUUCCUACAUGGAUAAUGUGACAUGAGACAAACUUGUUGCCUAAGAUAAAGCUGAUAGCUUACUGUUUUGGAGUCAAAUAACAAAUGGGUUAGUGUAAUGUAUAUGUAAUAUCUGUGUUACUUCAAGACAAGGAUGCUGAAAAGAUGGUUCAUUGACUUGAUUCCAAGUUGUCCGCAUUGUGCUAAUAUUCCAAACAAGCCAUGCCUCAAAUGAGACUCAGCAUAAACUAGCUAAACCCAAUAACAAAGAAGCCCAAACUCAUAACUAAUAACUUCAGUCUAAGCUCGUACGCACGCAGAAGGAGAGGGCCCUUACAACUACCAUCGUCAAGAUCCUCUAAUAGCCAGAAAUAGACAUGCAAACAAGAACUAGGGAGCCUCCACAGUUGAGAUCCAAAGACCAAAUAAUAGAAAACGAGACAGUCACUAGAAAGAAAUAAAUAAAUAGAUCACUAGUAAGAAAAAUCUCUCUCGUUUUAAACUCUCACCUUCAAUGUAAGAAGUUGUUUUUUUUGGUAGGAAAUAUGAUAUUUCACUGUUGAGUUAAAUAUAAUUUUGAAACAAUCAAAAUAUAAAUAAAUCAGACUGAAUGAAAAUAACAAUUUAAAUCUAAUAAAUCACUAAAAAAAAAGCUAAGCAACAAAUUUUUUAAAAAAAAUCAAACCGACUAUUUUUUUGUGUAAUUUGGUUCGAAAUCUUUGAGGCCUGGGCUAAUCCGCAGCUCAAUAAAAUCUGCAUAUGGACAAAUUACACAUUAAUUUAAAUGAAAUUCUAGCUGAAAUUUAUGAAUUGAAUUAGAAAUAAAGCAACGAAAAUUUCUGAAAUCCAACCCUUGCAAAUCAAUUUUCUGAAAAGAAAAAUUGCAUUUUAUUAAAUUACACUAAUGAAUUUUAAUUUACUAAUAUUUGAAUUAUAUUUUUUGAAAGCAAUUAUUGUUAAAACUAUAAUAUUUUAAAUUUAGUAAUAUAUUUUCCUUAAAUUAUUCAAAUAACGAAAGAAUCCAUUGUAUGGGCAAUUAUGAAAUUUAGAUGGAUACAACAAAUUAGUUUUAGGUAUACCCAAUCAUUUUCAAGUUAUUUUCUUAAAGGAAAUAUGUCUUAUAAAUGACUUUGUUAUUUUUUUUUAAAUUUGAAAGAAUCUUAUUAAUAUUAUUGGAAAUUUAAAGCUUAAAAACUAAGAUAUUUUUUUAAAAUUGUUUUUACAUAUAUAAAUUAUUAUACCCGUUCUUUAAUUUUAAAUUAGAACUAAUAUUCUUUUUUGUUUAAAAAAAAAAAACUUGGAAUCUAGACUUUAUGAUAUGAUUAGUGGUUAUAACAUUUAUUAUUCUCAUGCAUUGAGGAGAAGGAAUGAAUUAAAUAACAGAAAAAGAAAUAUUUGGGAUAUUAUUAUAAAUAAAUUUCAAAUAAAGCAUAAAAUAUUUUAUUCGGAAAACAAAGAAGUAAGAAUAAAAUAAUCAGAUAUGUCGAUAUGGGUGGGCCAAUUGGACUAAGUAAUCAAGAGGAGGCGCACCCUGUUUGGUCGUCGCUGCAUCAUCUCUCAACUUCAGCGUUCUCUCUCUUAUAUCUUUUCCUUCCUCGGAGUCCAACAUCUCAGUCACUCGCUCCCUCAACUCGGUUGAACUCACAAAUACUCCCCUAGACUCAGCCAAGGGCAGGGCGACAUUACAUUAAUUUCCUUGACCAGAAAAGCUCUAUUAACUUCUUUUUGCUCCGUAUACAAUUGCCUCCGGUAUCGCAUUCCACCCUCCAUGAGUUAUAAACCUCUCAUAGUGCUCUGGGUAUAGUCAUCCAUUGAGGGCAGUUGCGGCCUCACCACCCAUAAGAAUCGAGCAACACUUGUUUCUUACCCAAUAGCAAUUUCUUUCAACUGCUAGGCGCAGAAUUUUCCCACGCUACCAAAACUAAAAAACACGACAUUUGGAAUCAAUUGCAAGACCAGCCAACUAAGACAAAAGUGUUUGUCUUCAACUCCUCCUCUUCCAUUAUUGAUACGUAUUAGUGGCCCUAGGCAGUGCACAGGAGGCACGGGCUCCCCUUGUGUACAUCGACCAUUUACUAUUGCUUUGGGAGCCCUUUGCUCCAGAGAUUCAAAAUGUCAAUGAUAAGUCUAGCAGAUUUUGGCAUCUUGUUUUCAGUGUCUUUGAAAUAUUAAUAAGCUUUGCUCUCUCGAUCGAGGAUGAGCAUUCGCAUGUUCUAAGCAAAUCAAGAUCUUUCAAACUCUCUGCAGUGAUGUUAUGAAUGAUAAGCAAGUAAAGAAAAGCAGCAAGACCACUGGUAGAACAUGGAAUUAUAUUUCCAAAAGAUGGAAGGAAAUGGUGGGAAAAUUAAGGCAAGAGGAGACUUCAAAAGCGGCGUUAGAAAGGAAAUCAAGAACAAAAGCCUCGAUCUUGGACUUUGAAAGGGCAAAUAGAGCUUGGAGCAGAUUAUUGAUCGUUAAGUUUGACCAUAAAUUCAACCGGUUGAUCGUUUAGUUUAAAUUAUGGUGAGGGAGUCGAUCAAUGAGAGAUUUCCAAAUAAUCUUAAUAAUCCAAAGCAUGAUUUGAUUUGUGCAACAGAAAUGGGGAGUCCACAAUUUCAAACAAAAAAAAAAAAAAGGAAAUGGGGAGUCCAAAUCAAAACAAUUAUAUGCUUUUCUCAGGCUCCACUAAUUUUUCUCCAAUAUGCGAUGCCCACUUUAAUGGGUGGGUCAAACUGAAAAGAACCUACCCCACUAAUUUAUUUAUAACACGCACCAAAAAAAAAAAUCAACAUGAAAAUAAAAAAAUAACAAUUCUAGACGCACAAAAACGAAAGCAGAGAUCAUUUACUCUUCCAUGAUUCCACCAGUUUGGACAAUGCCACACGAGAUGAACCGCCCUCGCUCACGGCUGCCUUGGCUUCGUUUUUCAUAGUAAUGGUUCGCUCCCUAAUCGAGUUACCUGCCUCCGUAUCCAUCAAUUCACGGACCCUCUUCUCCACCUCCACUGCAGUUACAAACCCGUCCUCCGAUUCCUUCAUUGGCAAAGCAAUUUUAAUUUCUUCCACCAACAACAACCUAUUGAACCUUUGCUCUGCGUACAGCGGCCAAGCCACCAUUGGCACUCCUGCAUACACCGCCUCAAGCACUGAAUUCCAUCCACAGUGAGUCACAAAACCGCCCACCGAAUCAUGGUUCAAUACUGCUACCUGUGGAGCCCAUGACUUCACCACAAGUCCUUUCUCCCUGGUACGAUCCAAGAAACCAUCAGGGAGCAAUGACUCUAAAUCUGGAUCCGCCAAUGGUGAGAUGGCUAAGCUUUGAUUAUUAGAUGGCGGAUUACGCACCACCCACAAGAACCUUUGUCCACUUCUCUCCAACCCAAUAGCUAUUUCUGUGAGUUGUUCCUUUGAGAACAGCCCCAAGCUACCAAAACACAAAAAUACAACACUUUGACUUGGUUGAGAAUCAAGCCAGGUUAAACACUCUGGCACGCCAUCACUUUCAUUCUUGGCCGCUAUUAAAGGCCCGAUACAGUAAAGAGGAGGUGUGUUAGUGGUGGGCACACAUAAUCCAUCUGAUAUUGCCUUCACGGCUCUGGCCUCGAGCAACUCAAAAGUGUUUGCGAUAAUUCCUGCGGACUUGGGAAAGGAGGUAGCGAGCUCUAAAAAGUAUUCGUAGGCUUUGUCGUAGCGAUCGAGCGUUGGGCUCGGCAUGUCAGAGGACAAUACAGGUGGAGCACCCGGAACAUGGAGAAAAGUGUUGAGAUCUUUGAAACUUUUGGUAGUGUUUUCAUGAAUGGUCGGAAAAUAAAGUAAGAGAGCAAGACACGCAGCACCUGAAGCAAAGAAGAAAUAACCAGGGAUGUUGAGUUCAGAGGCAACAGAAAGAGAAUCAGCACAAAAGAAAUCCAUAAUUACGGCGUUAAUAGAGUGAGAUUUGGAGAUGGACAGGAGAGCUUGGCGGAGGUGAGGCUUGCUGAGGCGGAUGACCUCAAAGGUGAGGGUUUCAUGAUGAGAGGCUGCUGUGGAAGGGAGGGUGACGGUGGGAAGAUGGUGGAAGGAGAUUGAAGGAACGGCGGCAGCCACUUCAGCAAUAUAAGAGGCAGUGGAGCCGGCACUGUAAGGUGCUGCUGUAAUGAAGAUGUGAAUGGAAAUGGAGGAACGAUGAGAGAGAAUUAACUUGCCUAACUCUACCAUAGAUACCAAGUGACCUACGGCUGGAGUUGAGUAAAGAACUACAGCCUCAUCCAUGGCUGCCUGUUGUGUUUCCUCGGUCUCUAUGAGGAAAGGAAAGAGAUAGAUUUUGAGGGUUGAGCUGCAGGAACGGUAGGCGAUUCGGCCAAAAUUUAUAAUAAGCGUAAAUUAUAUUUUAAUUUUUAAAAUUUUAAUAUAAUUAAUAAAUUAAUCUUUUUAUUUUUAAAAUUAAAUAUCUAAAUUUUUAUAUUUUAUAAUCGUUCAAAUCUGUUAAUUCAAUAAAGAGAGGCUGAUUUUUUUUAUCUCAAAAACAUCUUCUUUUUUUAUUCUAAAUUAAUUUCUAUUUUUUUAUUUUUUAAAACUUUUCUUAAAAAAAUAAAUCUUCUGUCUAUAUACUCUUUAUUGUCAAUCCUAGCUAUUAAAAAUCUUUUUCUAUCCAUGUGGUGGAAAUUUUAUCUAAUGAAAACAUUCAAGACCUUGAAUCUUAAUGUGCUUAAUUUCUUGAAAUCAAAAAUCACAAAUACUGCUAUUUCUUUGGCACGGCAUAAUGCGAACAAAAGUUUUAUUAUUUCUUUAGCGGUGAAUAGUAAAGUGUUGAUUAUUUUCUCAUAUACUUUUUAUAUUAAAUUAAAAUAUUUUUAUAAGUUUAUUCUUUUAAUCACUAAGAAUAUUCGUUCAAUUAGACAUUAAUUUAUUAUUAAAAAAUAUCAAAAAAGCCAAAUUACCUUCAUUCCAAAUAAGUCUCCAAAUUUGACAAUUGAAAAAGAGGUCAAAUCAUACGCAAAACUUUAAAACGUAAAAUAAAGUUUCCAACUAACUUUUUGUCUCCCUUACUAGUUGUUACAAUAACUUUCCAACAAAAGAACAAUGGUGAUUCCAUGUUUGCUCUGUGCUUAGGUGCCUUGUCCAACUUAGAAGCUAGAAUCAUUAACUUCCAAACCAUUAACAAUACCCUUUAUAUUCAAACCUUGCCUAGGAUUGUCUGGUAUUGUGUAGUUUAAAUUUAUGUCAGUAAGCCUUAUAGUUUCAUAGAGGACGCUCGAACUGCACAGCAAUGCCACUGCAGAAUUGGAGUUGUAAGAGUCACUGACGUUCUUCACAUAGAUGUUACUCAGUUUUAUAAGAGAGAGUUACAUGCACACAGACUAAAAAUUAAUCGUGUGUUGCUUGUGAUUUGUGAAGAGUGACGAGAAUUUAUUUUCCUAAACAUAGAUGAUUAAUUAUCUUAAACGAGUCGCAACUAUGUGAAGGACAAUAUUCUUGAUCAGGAUUCGAAACAUUGGUCACGGCAAUAUUUUGGAAAGUAAAGAUAGAAGCUUUGCUUGCUGCAGAUGCUGGCCACGUUGCAAGAGGCAUCCCAUGUGGCUAAGAAUGCCUAUUGAAAAGUAAAAAGACGGAGACAUGGAAGAUCUAUUCAGCUAAGAAAAUUUUUUUUUUUUUCCUAUUUUUAUUUUUUUAAGGCAUUUAAAGAAUUAAAAAAUUUUCUCAUUUUAUUAAGGAGCUAAUAUGAUAGUACUUAACAAUAAAAAAAAUAAAAAUUUAAAUAAAUAUUCUUAAUAAUUGAAGGAAUAAAAUUAUGAAAAUAUUUUAGUUAUAUAAAUUAAAAUUAAAGGGUAUAAUAGUAAUUUACCUUAUAUAAUCUCAUACAGGGGUUAUGGUGAAGAGAACCGCUACAGUGGUCCCGUCCCUUGACGAUUGGACAGUCCACUUAUUUCUAUUUUAUCGGCAUUAAUUAUUACAAUUGAUAUUUUUUUUAUUAUAGUGAUAUUAUAUGUCGUGUGAUUGAGAUCUUUUAUUUAUAUUAAUUUUUUUAAUUAUUUUAAUAUUACGAUUAGACUUUAUUUAAUUUAAUAUAUUUAUCAUCGUGAGUGUUUUUAUUUAAUUAAAGCUAAAGCGAUACACGGUGGCACAUGGAACAUGAAUGUAUUGUAGUUAAAAUAAUUUAUUUUUUGAAGAGAUCUUAUUAUGAUUUGAUAAAAGUUAUAAAAUUAUUAAAUUUUUAGUAAUAAACUAAUUUUUAAAUUUAAUUUUUAUUUAAUAAAAUAAUUUUUUUUUAAAAAAAUUAUAUAUUGAUGUUGAUUAUUGACAAAAAAUUAUAUUUUUUUAAUGACUAAAAUAUCUCUUUAGGUGAUAUAAUUUUUUAAUAAAAAAUUAUUUUUAUUUAUUAUUUAAUAAUAAAAAAUUGAGAAAAUAUUAUUUUAAUUUUUAAAAAUUAAUGAACUUUUGGAUAUUUUUAAUUUUUAAUAUAAACCUAUAUUCUGUAAGUAUUUUUUUAAUCUGUAAUUAAUUUUUAUAAAUAUAUGCCAAUUAUACUUACAAAAUUAUAUUCUAUAAGUAUAUAAAUUAGAGAUUUAAAAAUUAAAGAUCAAUUUUUAUAGUUAAUUAAAAAUUAAAAGUUGAUUUUUAUAUUUAGAUGUUCAUUUAAAUUAAUUUUUAUAAAUAUAAAAAUUUUAUACUUAAUUAAAAAUAAAAAAUUGAGUCCUAUAUGCAUAAAAUUUUAUACUUACAAAAUAUUAAUUUUAUAUUUUAAAAACUAAAAUUAUUUAUUAUGAUAAAAUAUACAAGUUCACACAUUUUUAAUAACUUAUUAAAUUUUUUUAUUGCUAAAAUAACAGAUAAAAAUAACUUUUAUUAAAAAAAAUAUUUAUCAUUUAGGGAUAAAAAUAACUUUUUAAUAGAAUGACUAUUUUAUUAGAUGAAAAUUAAAAUUAGAGAUUAAUUUAUUAUUAAAAAUUUAAUGAAGGUGAAUUUUUUCAAACUUUAAGAAAAUCACAAUAAAUAACCCUAAUUUUUAGGUUAUCUUUUCUCCUGAAUCCUUCUUCCUUCGUCCUUAUUUAAUGCUCCAUUAGUAAUUGUUUGAUGGAAGCAGCGUUGCUUUCUGGGGAAAAAAACACAAAAAUCUUAUAUUAGUUUCUACAAUACCUUAUAAAAAUGUCUAAAAGAAAUAAAUAAUAGUAUUUAAGUUUCAUAAAUUAGUAGAAAUCAUCAAUUUUAAAAUUCAAAAAGAAACCACCGUAUAACAAUCACAAUUGGAGCAUAUGAAACUAACUACUAAAGAAGUAUGAGAAGUAGAUUUCUUGUUUAAUAUGGAGUAUUUAUAAAAAUAUGAGUACUAAUAGAAUUUUUUUAUUUACAACCGGUUAAUUGAGUCUCCACUAAAUCGUACCUUGUUAUUGUUUGUUAUAAUUAUUUUAUUUUAAAAGUUUAAUAAUUAAUUUCUUUUAAUUUUAAUCGUUAAUAUUUAUAAAAAAAUUUAAAUCACUUCUAAUAUAAAGAGAUUAAUUAAAUAAUUUUUUUAAAAUUUAAAAAAUUAAUUAAUAAAUUUUUUAAAACCACAGAAAUUAAAUAAUAAAAUAUUUAAUAAAAAAAAUAAUUAAAAAUUAAUUAAUUGAGUUUUUAAACACCAAAUACGAUUUAAUAUAUUUUUUAAAAUUAAAAAAUUAAUUAAAAAUUUUUUUUAUAUAAUAAAAAUAAAAUAAUAAUUUUACUUUUUUUUAACUAUGAGAGGCAUUGUAAUUAGGCUGUCACAUAUUAGUUGAAAAAUAUAUUUUUUAUUUUAUUUUUUUUCAGAUAUGCAAAUUGGAUUGCAUUAAAAGUCGAGAAGUACAGCUGAUUGUAGAUCCAAAACUGGUCCUGAAACGAAACAAAAAGCCCACAUUCCAGGCCAAAGCCCAAACAUAACCUAGUCCAGUUCACGAUUCUGGAACAAUUCACUGCUUUGUUCCUCCACCGCCACGUCCCGCACCUAGGCACUGACAUACAACAAAUCAGAAAAGACCACCUGUAUCACAAAUUCAGAUUUUAACACCUGCUCAAACUAUGGGCACUCAAUUGCAACUCUUUUCAAAUCAAGUAAAUCAAUAAAUUUAGAACGUAUAUCUACGCAGUAGAAUAUUGAAGUUAAAAUUUUCCAUCCUAUUCUUAUAAAAAAAUUGGAAUAAAUCAUAAAUAUAUCAAACAUGACAAUUCACUUUGAGAUUUAAUGAAUGGACUGCUUAUUUUAUUUACAAGACAAAAUACUCAUUAUACAAUUAUAACAACGAUCAUCUCACAACUUGUAAAUAGGGAGAGUGAUAAUCUACAAAGAGUGAAAAUACUAUUUAGGGACUCAAAAAGCCUAUAAUAGCCAGUUGGGUUCAAUCCUCACUAGUGGUCAUUUAGUCACUCACCCUUAAAGAGCCUUAAAAAUAAAUAAAAUUGUGGUGGGAAGAGAUAUCAAUAUAUUUAGGAUGACACUCCCUCUUAACAAAUAAAUAAAAAGGAAUUAUAAAGAUUUGUCGCAGCGUUUUUGAUACUACUAUUUUAUACUUAUUUUCCCCAAUAUUACUUUUCAGAAAUUACAAUGUUGAGAAAAUUAUAUUUUUGUACUCCAAAACUCUAGGCCUUUGAUACUCUCCCACUUAAAUGGUCGACGUCCUCGUCGACUGAGUGUGACAAAGGUCUUUAGUCUUUGCUCGAAUAUUUGACUCUGUCUUCCCUGUAACGAUCCGAAAAUCGGAUCGUUACCGGCGCUAGGAUCCAGAUCGACUUAAGGUCGCCGGGACCCGUAGCAAGCCUACUAUACAUCCUGUACAUCUGAUAAAAUCUCAUACAUGAUCAACAUUUCAUAAAAACUUUAAAUUUUUCAUGUACAAAGCUUGACCUGUGCAUGCACCAUAACUUUAUACAUACAAACCCCAUACUAGAGCCCUCAUCAAAUGCUCUAGUUGGGUCAACAUUACAUACAUCAAGCUUGGUUCAACAUAUAUCAUCAUUAAAACAUUUACAUAAAGAUCAUGUACAACAGGGAUUAACAAUACAUUAGGGCCAAGCACAAUACUAAUCAUCAUUACAUUGCCUUACAUUACAUUACAUUACAUUAUUUUACAUAUCAUGUCCACUACUAAACUAUUACAUCAUGCUAUACCAGAACUCUGAUGACUCUCCCAUAGCUACAUGUGCUCCUACAACCCUGGGGGUUAGGAAAAAGGGGUGAGCUACUAAAGCCCAGUGAGCAGAAUAAUAAAAACAGUUUAUAAACAUAUGCCAUCAUGAAAUGCAUCACAUCACAAACAAUUCACAUCACGGAUGGACUUGUCAUCAAUAACCCUCUACAUAGUCCAAUUGUGCCAGGGGCGUAGAAUGGGCCUCACUGGUCUUUCUCUUAACAUAACAUAACAUAUCCAAUGUGCCAGGGGCGUAGAAUGGGCCUCACUGGACUUCCAUACCGUAUCAUAACAUGUCAUAUCGAGGGCUAGUAGGUCAUCCAAUAUCCAUCCACAUCAACAUCAUAUUAUGCAAUGCACCAUAUUCGUGAAUUUCUAAUGCAAACAACCUAGUACAUAUCAUGGCAUUCAUGAUGCAUGAACAUGCUAAAAAUUCCAUUUACUUUAAAACAUAGUUCAGUUCUACUCACCUCUGGCUGACUCUGAAACAGCUAGCACUGCUGACCUCCUCGGUUCCUCGGGUCCGAUCCUACAUAGGUGGACUCAAAUGAGGGACCAAACAUACUCUGACAUUACUCUAAACAUCUCCCCAAAAACCCCCUAAAACAUUAUAAAACAUGCAUAAAAACAUGCAAAAGAAGGCUGGGCAGGGGACUUUCGGCGGCCGAAGGUCCCUACAGAGCCGAAAGUCAGGCACUUUCGGGGGCAGGGUUCGGCGGCCGAAAGUCCUUCCAGAGCCGAAAGUCACCAUCCUUCGGGGGCAGGUUCGGCGACUGAAACUCUCCUCUAGAGCAGAAAGUCCAACUUUCGGGGGCGAGUUUAGGCGGCCUAAAGCUGCCUCCACAGGCAGGUUCGGCGGCUGAACAUGGCUUCGGCAGCCGAACUUGGGUUCUCCAGAAUGGCAGAACCCGAUUCCGCCUCACGCAUCCCAACUUUCCAACAUGCAUUCAACUACUCUAAAACAUGCAUAAACACUUAUUCAAGCAUAUAGGGGCAUAAAACUAGCCUAAACCCCAACAAACAUCAACAUGGCAUCACAUAAACAUACAUUUAUCAUUUAACUAACAUAAACCCUAACAUUUUACAUCUACUCUAAACAUGCAUUAAACACCCUUAAAAUCCCUCAAAACUUACUUAAAACAUAAAAGAAGGUGAGGAUCUACACUUACCUCUUGAAGAUCGAGAGGAGAUGCGAUCCCAAACUUGGAGAUAUAGAGGAACGAGCUCCGGGGGUCUCCAAGCUUCAAAACUAUCUUGAAGGAUUUGAGGAGGAAACACAAGAUCAACAUGGGGGUGGCGGAGACUCACCUUGUCCGGAAAUGGAGAGAGAAAACUCGCCCAUUUUCGGACAGGGGGCCUUUUAUAGGUGGCUGGCCAGACCACCUUCGGAGGCCAGUGCCUCAGCAACUCCACCAUGUUCGGCUACCGAACUUGAGGUUCGGAGGCCGAACUUGGGUUUCUCCUCCAAAACAUUUUCUUUUAAAAUUCAAUUUUAUUUCUUCAUUAAAACCAUAAAAACAUAUAAAACAUUUUAGAAAACCUUUAUUUUACCCUUCUAGAAGGCUCCGACAUUCAAGAAAUCCCGGAUUCUAACGGAGAUUCCGCCGGAAGGUAGGAUUCUCGGUGCCGGGGUCUAGCCGGGUAUUACAUUCUUCCCCCCUUAAGAACAUUCGUCCCCGAAUGUUCAACAAACAAGCAUAGAUGGAGUUCUAUAAGAAUGAUUCUUAGCAUCAUAGUUAUUGUUUAACAGACUAUUUGAUCUCGAAAGUUUUGUUCUUGUCGAAAUUUGUCUUGUUGAUUGGAUUUUUGUAACUUCAGUCUUCUACAAAAAGUGACUGGAGGUUGGUAUUCAAUCUUCAAUACGAACUCACUAAGUGAUACAGAUCCAAUAGGGCAAAUUUCUAACAAUGGUGUGGAGCAAACUUAUGUCAUUCAAAUGGAUCUAAAAGGAGUUCAAAAUCAUAUUCAUAUGAUCCAUAUAUAUUUGGGGCGUGCUUCAACUCAUAUGGGACAGAUUUGGUGCAACACUUACAAUCAUAGGCUUAGGGAGCCUAAUCAAACCUAUGGGCUAAAACUACACAAAGAGAAGCCUAAAGUGAAGAUCAAGUAAGGCUUUUGUGAAGAUUCAGCUUUGUUAUGAUGGGCUUGCUAUAUUUUUAUUAUUUAACACUUGUUUUAUUUUAGUUUUGUUUGGGCUUGUAUUCUGGCCAUACUUUAUCUUUUAAGUUUUAGAGUGUUGGGCUAUGUUUUGGGCUUAUGUUUUAAUACUUAUGUGUUAUUUUAGUGUGUGAUUGGGCUUGGGCCUUAUGUGUUUAAGUCAGGUCCAAGAAGAAUGUCUUAGGGUUUUAUUUGUUUUUCUCCUUACUAUAUAAGGAUAAGAAACAAUUGUAAGACGCAGCUUUUUAAUCAAAAUUUCAGAAUUCUUUUCAUACUUUUGGCGUGUAUUGCUUUGAGUGAGAGUGAGGAUUUGCUUUCAUCAAUUGCACCAGGAAUUUUGGCUAACUUAUCAACUAUUCGUUGUGGCGUUUGUCAGAUUCUCAUCUAAAUCCUUCGAUCAUUGGUGUUUCAGCUUCUCCAAGUUUGGGGUGCCAUAGGAGGUGAGUUUAUCAAAUCUUUGGAUUCCAUAUCUACUUGUGCGUGUGGGUUUGAGGCUUAUGCCAUAGGGUUCCGCGUCAGUAAGGUUAUAAAUUCUUUUGCUGAUACUGUUGUUGCCUACUUCUAGGUGAUAGAUGAUUCUGCAACAUCUCCCUUAACAGCUGGUAAGUACCUAUGGGUAGGUUAUUGCACCAACCCUACGACUUCGAGCUUGUCCUCGCCAUCUCCUUCAUGUAUUUCCUCCUUCCAUCUCUCCAAGUUCAAGUUCUCUUUCACUCUUCUACCUUUAUUUCCAUAGCCUUCACACAUUAUCACAAACUUUCAUGGUGCGUAAGAUGUUAGAAAUGAUUAAUUUGCACUAAGCUCAAAGGAAACUCAUCAAUAACAAGGUUAUAUUCAAACAACUAGCAACCAAACUCUACAAAAACAAAAUUAAAUAAUAACAUUCUAUUAGUUAUUCAACCAGUUCACUGCAUUUACUUCCUAACACUAGAAAAAAAUACUUUUAUGUGAAAUAAAAAAAUAGAAAUAGAGCAUAAAAUUUUUAAUUUAAAUUCUACUACCAAGUGGUUUUCAAAAGUAAAUCAUAACAAUAAAUAGAUAACAACUAACUCAUCCAUUCACUUAUUCCUGUUAGUACUCCGCACACAGUUUUGGGAGUUGUUAUUUUGUGGGCGACACUUUAGACAAUCUCACUUCAGACUCUUCGACUCCUCCUCGUGGAAAUACAACAUGUUUCCUCCUCCAACAUCACAAGACAAUUUACGGCAGGAAUAGGAAUCACUCGCGCAGCUCGAAAAAAUUGUAUUCCAAUUACCACUUUAAAGUCAUUAAAGGGAGUUACUGUGAAAUCCCUUUCAUAAGCUCAACUGACAAGAUACACCGAAUGCCACUCCCAUCAUGUCCAAAGCCUUGGAGUUGACCGCCUUCACCUUUCCACCAUUUUUUUGCACCAUCAACUUCAACCUUGUUGCUAAGGUAUCUGCCAUAAAGUUAUCAGUAGCUCCUGUAUCCACCAAGGCCUCUAUUUCCUCUCCAUUAAUCCAUAUAUCUACGUACAUCAACCAUGGACUCCAUGGUAAGCUCCAUAUCUUACUUUUCCACAGCUUCCAUGCAGCGCAACGCACCUAACUUGUGCAGAUCUUCGAUU
RNAcentral lists this long non-coding RNA (52773 nucleotides) under Manihot esculenta (cassava). RNAcentral describes it as "long non-coding RNA (MESC_LNC008257)". The record is from RNAcentral. Lineage: Eukaryota; Viridiplantae; Streptophyta; Magnoliopsida; Malpighiales; Euphorbiaceae.